Molecule: long non-coding RNA, 61114 nt
Filed under: Sorghum bicolor (sorghum)
Lineage: Eukaryota; Viridiplantae; Streptophyta; Magnoliopsida; Poales; Poaceae
Description: long non-coding RNA (SBIC_LNC010498)
Source: RNAcentral
GCGCGGAUGGGUUGUAGGACAUGAAAACAAUUUGGCACUAGACUUAUGGGACGAACACAAGGACACUCGAAACUAAGGGUAGAUGUGAACCUAACGGUACGUCUGAAGCUUUGAUUACCACUUGAGGAGAACAAGGCCCGAUCUUCUGAAAGGUUCUGGUAACUAGCGAUUUGGUGGAAACGAGACACAAAUCAAUUCAGUUUGCGAACAACACGAUUCGAAACCCUGCAAUUCUUUUUAUUUUUUUGAUAUUUUUCUUUUACUUAGGAGCACUCAAGAAGUAACCACAGGAAAUUUGAGCUUAAACAAGUGAAGGACGUGGCCUGUGGAAUUUUUUGAAGAUUUCGAAAAAUAUGAAAAUAAACUUUAGGAGGUGAAAACUCAAAUUUUCAGAGGCGAGUUUGGGAAUUCUAAAUUUGUCGCACCCGCUAAGGUGGGGAUAGACAGAUCCAAAAAUUUUUCUGAUCGAUUUUGAUAUAUGGAACGUCAAAAUCGGAGUUCGUAGGUGAAAGUUAUGGCUGUUUUACGAACGGACUCUGAAUUAGAGGAUAAAACGGUCCGGAAGUGGGAAAAUUUUGCGGUGGUGGCUAUAAAUUGAUGGAAACGGAGGGAAGAAACACACAAAUUGGACUCUAACAAGACCUAACCAGUAACAAGAUCUCGACCAGGACACAAACUCAACACUACGGACUCUGAACUGAAAUAUGCAAAGGCUAUGGCGCGGAUGGGUUGUAGGACAUGAAAACAAUAUAGCACUAGACUUAUGGGACGAACACAAGGACACUCGAAACUAAGGAUAGAUGUGAACCUAACGGUACGUCUGAAGCUUUGAUUAACACUUGAGGAGAACAAGUGUGGCCCGAUCUUCCGAAUGGUUCUAGUAACUAUCAAUUUGGUGGAAACGAGACCCAAAUCAAUCCACCUUGCGAACAACGCGGUUCAAAACCCUGCAAUUCUUUUUAUUUUUUUUUUGAUAUUUUUCUUUUACCUAGGAGCACUCAAGAAUUAACCAUUGGAAAUUUGAGCUUAAACAAGUGAAAGACGUGGCCUGUGAAAUUUUUUGAAGAUUGCAAAAAAUAUAAAAAAACUUUAGGAGGUGAAAACUCAAACUUCAGGUGCGAAUUUGGGGAUUCUAAAAUUAUCGAACCCUCCUCUAGCAGAGAUGGACAGAUCCAAAAAUUUGUUCCGAUCGAUUUUAAUAUAUGGAACGUCAAAAUCGGAGUUCGUAUGCGAAAGUUAUGUCUGUUUUACGAACGGACUCCGAAUUAGAGGACAAAACGGUCCAGAAGUGGGGAAAAUUUGUGGUGGUGGCUAGAAAUUGAUGGAAACGGUGGGAAAAAACACACAAACUGGACUCUAACAAGACCAAAUCAGUAACAAGACCUCGACCAGGACACAAACUCAACACUACGGACUCUGAAACUGAAAUAUGCAAAGGUUAUGGCGCGGAUGGGUUGUAGGACAUGAAAACAAUUUGGCACUAGACUUAUGGGAUGAAUACAAGGACACUCGACACUAAGGGUAGAUGUGAACCUAACGGUACGUCUGAAGCUUUGAUUACCACUUAAGGAGAACAAGGCCCGAUCUUCCGAAAGGUUCUGUGGUAACUAUCGAUUUGGUGGAAACGAGACAGAAAUCAAUCCAGUUUGCGAACAACAUGAUUCGAAACCCUGCAAUUCUUUUUUUUGAUAUUUUUCUUUUACUUAGGAGCACUGAAGAAGUAACCACAAGAAAUUUGAACUAAAACAAGUGAAGGACGUGGCCUGUGGAAUUUUUUGAAGAUUGCGAAAAAUAUGAAAAUAAAGUUUAGGAGGUGAAAACUCAAAUUUUCAGAGGCGAGUUUGGGAAUUCUAAAUUUGUCGCACCCGCCUAUGGCGGGGAUAGACAGAUCCACAAAUUUUUCUGAUCGAUUUUGAUAUAUGGAACGUCAAAAUCGGAGUUCGUAGGCGAAAGUUAUGGCUGUUUUACGAACGGACUCUGAAUUAGAGGACAAAACGGUCCGGAAGUGGGAAAAUUUUGCGGUGGUGGCUAUAAAUUGAUAGAAACGGUGGGAAGAAACACACAAAUGGGACUCUAACAAGACCUAACCAGUAACAAGAUCUCGACCAGGACACAAACUCAACACUACGGACUCUGAACUGAAAUAUGGAAAGGCUAUGGCGUGGAUGGGUUGUAGGACAUGAAAACAAUAUAGCACUAGACUUUUGGGACAAACACAAGGACACUCGAAACUAAGGAUAGAUGUGAACCUAACGGUACAUCUGAAGCUUUGAUUAACACUUGAGGAGAACAAGUGUGGCCCGAUCUUCCGAAAGGUUCUACUAACUAUCAAUUUGGUGGAAACGAGACCCAAAUGAAUCCACCUUGCGAACAACGCGGUUCGAAACCCUGCAAUUCUUUUUUAUUUUUUUUGAUAUUUUUCUUUUACUUAGGAGUACUCAAGAAGUAACCACACGAAAUUUGAGCUUAAAAAAGUGAAAGACGUGGCCUGUGGAAUUUUUUGAAGAUUGCAAAAAAUAUAAAAAACUUUAGGAGGUGAAAACUCAAAAUUCAGGGGCGAAUUUGGGGAUUCUAAAAUUAUCAAACCCACCUCUAGCGGAGAUAGACAGAUCCAAAAAUUUGUUCUGAUCGAUUUUGAUAUAUGGAACGUCAAAAUCGGAGUUCGUAUGCGAAAGUUAUGGCUGUUUUACGAACGGACUCCGAAUUAGAGGACAAAACGGUCCGGAAGUGGGAAAAAUUUGUGGUGGUGGCUAGAAAUUGAUGGAAACGGUGGGAAAAAACAUACAAACUGGACUCUAACAAGACCAAAUCAGUAACAAGACCUUGACUAGGACACAAACUCAACACUACGGACUCUGAAACUGAAAUAUGCAAAGGUUAUGGCGCAGAUGGAUUGUAGGACAUGAAAACAAUUUGACACUAGACUUAUGGGACGAACACAAGGACACUCGAAACUAAGGGUACAUGUGAACCUAACGGUACGUCUGAAGCUUUGAUUACCACUUGAGGAGAACAAGGCCCGAUCUUCCGAAAGGUUCUGGUAACUAUCGAUUUGGUGGAAACGAGGCACAAAUCAAUCCAGUUUGCGAACAACACGAUUCGAAACCCUGCAAUUCUUUUUUUUAUAUAUUUUUCUUUUACUUAGGAGCACUGAAGAAGUAACCACAAGAAAUUUGAGCUUAAACAAGUGAAGGACAUGGCCUGUGGAAUUUUUUGAAGAUUGUGAAAAAUAUGAAAAUAAAGAUUAGGAGGUGAAAACUCAAAUUUUCAGAGGCGAGUUAGGGAAUUCUAAAUUUGUCGCACCCGCCUAUGGCGGGGAUAGACAAAUCCAAAAUUUUUUCUGAUCGAUUUUGAUAUAUGGAACGUCAAAAUCGGAGUUCGUAGGCGAAAGUUAUGGCUGUUUUACGAACCGACUCUGAAUUAGAGGACAAAACGGUCCGGAAGUGGGAAAAAUUUGCGGUGGUGGCUAUAAAUUGAUGGAAACGGUGGGAAGAAACACACAAAUUGGACUCUAACAAGACCUAACCAGUAACAAGAUCUCGACCAGGACACAAACUCAACACUACGGACUCUAAAACUGAAAUAUGCAAAGGCUAUGGCGCAGAUGGGUUGUAGGACAUGAAAACAAUAUAGCACUAGACUUAUGGGACGAACACAAGGACACUCGAAACUAAGGAUAGAUGUGAACCUAACGGUACGUCUGAAGCUUUGAUUAACACUUGAGGAGAACAAGUGUGGCCCGAUCUUUCGAAAGGUUCUAGUAACUAUCAAUUUGGUGGAAACGAGAUCCAAAUCAAUCCAUCUUGCGAAGAACGCGGUUCGAAACCCUGCAAUUCUUUUUUUUUGAUAUUUUUCUUUUACUUGGGAGCACUGAAGAAGUAACCACAGGAAAUUUGAGCUUAAACAAGUGAAAGACUUGGCCUGUGGAAUUUUUUGAAUAUUGCGAAAAAUAUAAAAAAACUUUAGGAGGUGAAAACUCAAACUUCAGGGGUGAAUUUGGGGAUUCUAAAAUUAACGAACCCACCUCUAGCGGAGAUAGACAGAUCCAAAAAUUUCUUCUCAUCGAUUUUGAUAUAUGGAACGUCAAAAUCGGAGUUCGUAUGCGAAAGUUAUGGCUGUUUUAGGAACGGACUCCGAAUUAGAGGACAAAACGGUCCGGAAGUGGGAAAAAUUUGUGGUGGUGGCUAGAAAUUGAUGGAAACGGUGGGAAAAAACACGCAAACUGGACUCUAACAAGACCAAAUCAGUAACAAGACCUUGACCAGGACACAAACUCAACAUUACGGACUCUGAAACUGAAAUAUGCAAAGGUUAUGGCGCGGAUGGGUUGUAGGACAUGAAAACAAUUUGGCACUAGACUUAUGGGACGAACACAAGGACACUCGAAACUAAGGGUAGAUGUGAACCUAACGGUACGUCUGAAGCUUUGAUUACCACUUGAGGAGAACAAGGCCCGAUCUUCCGAAAGGUUCUGGUAACUAUCGAUUUGGUGGAAACGAGACACAAAUCAAUCCAGUUUGCUAACAACACGAUUCGAAACCCUGCAAUUCUUUUUUUUUAUAUAUUUUUCUUUUACUUAGGAGCACUGAAGAAGUAACCACAAGAAAUUUGAGCUUAAACAAGUGAAGGACAUGGCUUGUGGAAUUUUUUGAAGAUUGCGAAAAAUAUGAAAAUAAUGUUUAGGAGGUGAAUACUCAAAUUUUCAGAGGCGAGUUUGGGAAUUCGAAAUAUGUCGCACCCGCCUAUGGCGGGGAUAGACAGAUCCACAAAAUUUUCUGAUCGAUUUUGAUAUAUGGAACGUCAAAAUCGGAGUUCGUAGGCGAAAGUUAUGGCUGUUUUACGAACGGACUCUGAAUUAGAGGACAAAACGGUCCGGAAGUGGGAAAAUUUUGCGGUGGUGGCUACAAAUUGAUAGAAACGGUGGGAAGAAACACACAAAUUGGACUCUAACAAGACCUAGCCAGUAACAAGAUCUCGACCAGGACACAAACUCAACACUACGGACUCUGAACUGAAAUAUGGAAAGGCUAUGGCGCGGAUGGGUUGUAGGACAUGAAAACAAUAUAGCACUAGACUUUUGGGACAAACACAAGGACACUCGAAACUAAGGAUAGAUGUGAACCUAACGGUACAUCUGAAGCUUUGAUUAACACUUGAGGAGAACAAGUGUGGCCCGAUCUUCCGAAAGGUUCUACUAACUAUCAAUUUGGUGGAAACGAGACCCAAAUCAAUCCACCUUGCGAACAACGCGGUUCGAAACCCUGCAAUUCUUUUUUAUUUUUUUUUGAUAUUUUUCUUUUACUUAGGAGCACUCAAGAAGUAACCACACGAAAUUUGAGCUUAAAAAAGUGAAAGACGUGGCCUGUGGAAUUUUUUGAAGAUUGCAAAAAAUAUAAAAAAAACUUUAGGAGGUGAAAACUCAAAAUUCAGGGGCGAAUUUGGGGAUUCUAAAAUUAUCGAACCCACCUCUAGCGGAGAUAGACAGAUCCAAAAAUUUGUUCUGAUCGAUUUUGAUAUAUUGAACGUCAAAAUCGGAGUUCGUAUGCGAAAGUUAUGGCUGUUUUACGAACGGACUCUGAAUUAGAGGACAAAACGGUCCGGAAGUGGGAAAAAUUUACGGUGGUGGCUAGAAAUUGAUGGAAACAGUGGGAAAAAACACACAAACUGGAAUGUAACAAGACCUAACCAGUAACAAGACCUCGACCAGGACACAAACUCAACACUACGGACUCUGAAACUGAAAUAUGCAAAGGUUGUGGCGCGGAUGGGUUGUAGGAAAUGAAAACAAUUUGGCACUAGACUUAUGGGACGAAGACAAGGACACUCGAAACUAAGGGUAGAUGUGAACCUAACGAUACGUAUGAAGCUUUGAUUACAACUUCAGGAGAACAAGGCCCGAUCUUCCGAAAGGUUCUGGUAACUAUCAAUUUGGUGGAAACGAGACCCAAAUCAGUCCACCUUGCGAACAACGCGGUUCGAAACCCUGCAAUUCUUUUUAUUUUUUUUGAUAUUUUUUAUUUACUUAGGAGCACUCAAGAAGUAACCACCGGAAAUUUGAGCUUAAACAAGUUAAAGACGUGGCCUGUGGAAUUUUUUGAAGAUUGCGAAAAAUAUAAAAAAAACUUUAGGACGUGAAAACUCAAACUUCAGGGGCGAAUUUGGGGAUUCUAAAAUUAUCGCACCUGCCUCUAGCAGAGAUAGACAGAUCCAAAAAUUUGUUCUGAUCGAUUUUGAUAUAUGGAACGCCAAAAUCGGAGUUCGUAUGCGAAAGUUAUGGCUGUUUUGCGAACGGACUCUGAAUUAGAGGACAAAACGGUCCGGAAUUGGGAAAAAUUUGUGGUGGUGGCUAGAAAUUGAUGGAAACGGUGGGAAAAAACACACAAACUGGACUCUAACAAGACCAAAUCAGUAACAAGACCUUGACCAGGACACAAACUCAACACUACGGACUCUGAAACUGAAAUAUGCAAAGGUUAUGGCGCGGAUGGGUUGUAGGACAUGAAAACAAUUUGGCACUAGACUUAUGGGACGAACACAAGGACACUCGAAACUAAAGGUAGAUGUGAACCUAACGGUACGUCUGAAGCUUUGAUUACCACUUGAGGAGAACAAGGCUUGAUCUUCCGAAAGGUUGUGGUAACUAUCGAUUUGGUGGAAACGAGACACAAAUCAAUCCAGUUUGCUAACAACACGAUUCGAAACCCUGCAAUUCUUUUUUUUAUAUAUUUUUCUUUUACUUAGGAGCACUGAAGAAGUAACCACAAGAAAUUUGAGCUUAAACAAGUGAAGGACAUGGCCUGUGGAAUUUUUUGAAGAUUGCGAAAAAUAUGAAAAUAAUGUUUAGGAGGUGAAUACUCAAAUUUUCAGAGGCGAGUUUGGGAAUUCUAAAUUUGUCACACCCGCCUAUGGCGGGGAUAGACAAAUCCAAAAAUUUUUUUGAUCGAUUUUGAUAUAUGGAACGUCAAAAUCAGAGUUCGUAGGCGAGAGUUAUGGCUGUUUUACGAACAGACUCUGAAUUAGAGGACAAAACGGUCCGGAAGUGGGAAAAAUUUGCGGUGGUGGCUAUAAAUUGAUGGAAACAGUGGGAAGAAACACACAAAUUGGACUCUAACAAGACCUAACUAGUAACAAGAUCUCGACCAGGACACAAACUCAACACUACGGACUCUGAAACUGAAAUAUGCAAAGGCUAUGGCGCGGAUGGGUUGUAGGACAUGAAAACAAUAUAGCACUAGACUUAUGGGACGAACACAAGGACACUCGAAACUAAGGAUAGAUGUGAACCUAACGGUACGUCUGAAGCUUUGAUUAACACUUGAGGAGAACAAGUGUGGCCCGAUCUUCCGAAAGGUUCUAGUAACUAUCAAUUUGGUGGAAACGAGAUCCAAAUCAACCCAUCUUGCGAACAACGCGGUUCGAAACCCUGCAAUUCUUUUUUUUUGAUAUUUUUCUUUUACUAAGGAGCAGUCAAGAAGUAACCACAGGAAAUUUGAGCUUAAACAAGUGAAAGACUUGGCCUGUGGAAUUUUUUGAAUAUUGCAAAAAAUAUAAAAAAACUUUAGGAAGUGAAAACUCAAACUUCAGGGGCGAAUUUGGGGAUUCUAAAAUUAUCGAACCCACCUCUAGCGAAGAUAGACAGAUCCAAAAAUUUCUUCUCAUCGAUUUUGAUAUAUGGAACGUCAAUAUCUGAGUUCGUAUGCGAAAGUUAUGGCUGUUUUACGAACGAACUCCGAAUUUGAGGACAAAACGGUCCGGAAGUGGGAAAAAUUUGUGGUGGUGGCUAGAAAUUGAUGGAAACGGUGGGAAAAAACACACAAACUGGACUCUAACAAGACCAAAUCAGUAACAAGACCUCGACCAGGACACAAACUCAACACUACGGACUCUGAAACUGAAAUAUGCAAAGGUUGUGGCGCGGAUGGGUUGUAGGAAAUGAAAACAAUUUGGCACUAGACUUAUGGGACGAAGACAAGGACACUCGAAACUAAGGGUAGAUGUGAACCUAACGGUACGUAUGAAGCUUUGAUUACAACUUCAGGAGAACAAGGCCCGAUCUUCCGAAAGGUUCUGGUAACUAUCGAUUUGGUGGAAACGAGACCCAAAUCAGUCCACCUUGCGAACAACGCGGUUCGAAACCCUGCAAUUCUUUUUAUUUUUUUUGAUAUUUUUUAUUUACUUAGGAGCACUCAAGAAGUAACCACCGGAAAUUUGAGCUUAAAUAAGUUAAAGACGUGGCCUGUGGAAUUUUUUGAAGAUUGCGAAAAAUAUAAAAAAAACUUUAGGAGGUGAAAACUCAAACUUCAGGGGCGAGUUUGGGGAUUCUAAAAUUAUCGCACCCGCCUCUAGCCAAGAUAGACAGAUCCAAAAAUUUGUUCUCAUCGAUUUUGAUAUAUGGAACGUCAAAAUCGGAGUUCGUAUGCGAAAGUUAUGGCUGUUUUGCGAACGGACUCCGAAUUAGAGGACAAAACGGUCUGGAAUUGGGAAAAAUUUGUGGUGGUGGCUAGAAAUUGAUGGAAACGGUGGGAAAAAACACACAAACUAGACUCUAACAAGACCAAAUCAGUAACAAGACCUUGACCAGGACACAAACUCAACACUACGGACUCUGAAACUGAAAUAUGCAAAGGUUAUGGCGCGGAUGGGUUGCAGGACAUGAAAACAAUUUGGCACUAGACUUAUGGGACGAACACAAGGACACUCGAAACUAAAGGUAGAUGUGAACCUAACGGUACGUCUGAAGCUUUGAUUACCACUUGAGGAGAACAAGGCCUGAUCUUCUGAAAGGUUGUGGUAACUAUCGAUUUGGUGGAAACGAGACACAAAUCAAUCCAGUUUGCGAACAACACGAUUGGAAACCCAGCAAUUCUUUUUUUUUUAUGUUUUUAUUUUACUUAGGAGCACUCAAGAAGUAACCACAAGAAAUUUGAGCUUAAACAAGUGAAGGACGUGGCCUGUGGAAUUUUUUGAAGUUUGCGAAAAAUAUGAAAAUAAUGUUUAGGAGGUGAAAACUCAAAUUUUCAGAGGCGAGUUUGGGAAUUCUAAAUUUGUCGCACCCGCCUAUGGCGGGGAUAGAUAGAUCUAAAAAAUUUUCUGAUCGAUUUUGAUAUAUGGAACGUCAAAAUCGGAGUUCGUAGGCGAAAGUUAUGGCUGUUUUACGAACGGACUCUGAAUUAGAGGACAAAUCGGUCCGGAAGUGGGAAAGUUUUGCGGUGGUGGUUAUAAAUUGAUGGAAACGGUGGGAAGAAACACACAAAUUGGACUCUAACAAGACCUAACCAGUAACAAGAUCUCGACCAGGACACAAACUCAACACUACGGACUGAACUGAAAUAUGCAAAGGCUAUGGCGCGGAUGGGUUGUAGGACAUGAAAACAAUAUAGCACUAGACUUAUGGGACGAACACAAGGACACUCGAAACUAAAGAUAGAUGUGAACCUAACGGUACGUCUGAAGCUUUGAUUAACACUUGAGGAGAACAAGUGUGGCCCGAUCUUCCGAAAGGUUCUAGUAACUAUCAAUUUGGUGGAAACGAGACCCAAAUCAAUCCACCUUGCGAACAACGCGGUUCAAAACCCUGCAAUUCUUUUUAUUUUUUUUGAUAUUUUUCUUUUAUUUAGGAGCACUCAAGAAGUAACCACAGGAAAUUUGAGCUUAAACAAGUGAAAGACAUGGCCUGUGGAAUUUUUGGAAGAUUGCGAAAAAUAUAAAAAAAACUUUAGGAGGUGAAAACUCAAACUUCAGGGGCAAAUUUGGGGAUUCUAAAAUAAUCGAACCCACCUCUAGCAGAGAUAGACAGAUCCAAAAAUUUGUUCUGAUCGACUUUGAUAUAUGGAACGUCAAAAUCGGAGUUCGUAUGAGAAAGUUAUGGUUGUUUUACGAACGGACUCCGAAUUAGAGGACAAAACGGUCCGGGAGUGGGAAAAAUUUGUGGUGGUGGUUAGAAAUUGAUGGAAACGGUGGGAAAAAACAUACAAACUGGACUCUAACAAGACCAAAUCAGUAACAGGACCUCGACCAGGACACAAACUCAACACUACGGACUCUGAAACUGAAAUAUGCAAAGGUUAUGGCGCGCAUGGGUUAUAGGACAUGAAAACAAUUUGGCACUAGACUUAUGGGACGAACACAAGGACACUCGAAACUAAGGGUAGAUGUGAACCUAACGGUACGUCUGAAGCUUUGAUUACCACUUGAGGAGAACAAGGCCCGAUCUUCCGAAAGGUUCUGGUAACUGUCGAUUUGGUUGAAACGAGACACAAAUCAAUCCAGUUUGCGAACAACACGAUUCGAAACCCUACAAUUCUUUUUAUUGAUAUUUUUCUUUUACUUAGGAGCACUGAAGAAGUAACCACAAGAAAUUUGAGCUUAAACAAGUGAAGGACGUGGCCUGUGGAAUUUUUUGAAGAUUGCGAAAAAUAUGAAAAUAAAGUUUAGGAGGUGAAAACUCAAAUUUUCAGAGGCGAGUAUGGGAAUUCUAAAUUUGUCGCACCGGCCUAUGGCGGGGAUAGACAGAUCCAAAAAAUUUUCUGAUCGAUUUUGAUAUAUGGAACGUCAAAAUCGGAGUUCGUAGGCGAAAGUUAUGGCUGCUUUACGAACGGACUCUGAAUUAUAGGACAAAACGGUCCGGAAGUGGGAAAAAUUUGCGGUGGUGGCUAGAAAUUAAUGGAAACGGUGGGAAAAACACACAAACUGGACUCUAACAAGACCAAAUUAGUAACAAGACCUCGACCAGGACACAAACUCAACACGGACUAUGAAACUGAAAUAUGCAAAGGUUAUGGCGCGGAUGGGUUGUAGGACAUGAAAACAAUUUGGCACUAGACUUAUGGGACGAACACAAGGACACUCGAAACUAAGGGUAGAUGUGAACCUAACGGUACGUCUGAAGCUUUGAUUACCACUUGAGGAGAACAAGGCCCGAUCUUCCGAAAGGUUCUGGUAACUAUCAAUUUGGUGGAAACGAGACACAAAUUAAUCCAGUUUGCGAACAACACGAUUCCAAACCCUGCAAUUCUUUUUAUUUUUUUUGAUAUUUUUUUUUACUUCGGAGCACUCAAGAAGUAACCACAGAAAAUUUGAGCUUAAACAAGUGAAGGACGUGGCCUGUGGAAUUUUUUGAAGAUUGCGAAAAAUAUGAAAAUAAAGUUUAGGAGGUGAAAACUCAAAUUUUCAGAGGCGAGUUUGGGAAGUCUAAAUUUGUCGCACCCGCCUAUGGUGGGGAUAGACAGAUCCAAAAAUUUUUCUGAUCGAUUUUGAUAUAUGGAACGUCAAAAUCAGAGUUCGUAGGCGAAAGUUAUGGCUGUUUUACGAACGGACUCUGAAUUAGAGGACAAAACGGUCCGGAAGUGGGAAAAUUUUGCGGUGGUGGCUAUAAAUUGAUGGAAACGGUGGGAAGAAACACACAAAUUGGACUCUAACAAGAUCUAACCAGUAACAAGAUCUCGACUAGGACACAAAAUCAACACUACAGACUCUGAAACUGAAAUAUGCAAAGGCUAUGGCGCGGAUGGGUUGUAGGACAUGAAAACAAUAUAGCACUAGACUUAUGGGACGAACACAAGGACACUCGAAACUAAGGAUAGAUGUGAACCUAACGGUACGUCUGAAGCUUUGAUUAACACUUGAGGAGAACAAGUGUGGCCCGAUCUUGCGAAAGGUUCUAGUAACUAUCAAUUUGGUGGAAACGAGACCCAAAUCAAUCCAUCUUGCGAACAACGCGGUUCGAAACUCUGCAAUUCUUUUUAUUUUUUUUUGAUAUUUUUAUUUUACUUAGGAGCACUCAAGAAGUAACCAUAGGAAAUUUGAGCUUAAACAAGUGAAAGACUUGGCCUGUGGAAUUUUUUGAAGAUUGCGAAAAAUAUAAAAAAACAUUAGGAGGUGAAAACUCAAACUUCAGGAGCGAAUUUGGGGAUUCUAAAAUUAUCGAACCCACCUCUAGCGGAGAUAGACAGAUCCAAAAAUUUGUUGUGAUCGAUUCUGAUAUAUGGAACGUCAAUAUCGGAGUUCGUAUGCGAAAGUUAUGGCUGUUUUACGAACGGACUCCGAAUUAGAGGACAAAACGGUCCGGAAGUGGGAAAAAUUUGUGGUGGUGGCUAGAAAUUGAUGGAAACGGUGGGAAAAAACACACAAACUGGACUCUAACAAGACCAAAUCAGUAACAAGACCUCGACCAGGACACAAACUCAACACUACGGACUCUGAAACUGAAAUAUGCAAAGGUUAUGGCGCGGAUGGGUUGUAGGACAUAAAAAUAAUUUGGCACUAGACUUAUGGGAGGAACACAAGGACACUCAAAACUAAGGGUAGAUGUGAACCUAACGGUACGUCUCAAGCUUUGAUUACCACUUGAGGAGAACAAGGCCCGAUCUUCCGAAAGGUUCUGGUUACUAUCGAUUUGGUGGAAACGAGACACAAAUCAAUCCAGUUUGCGAACAACACGAUUCGAAACCCUACAAUUCUUUUUUUUGAUAUUUUUCUUUUAAUUAGGAGCACUCAAGAAGUAACCACAAGAAAUUUGAGCUUAAACAAGUGAAGGACGUGGCCUUUGGAAUUUUUUGAAGAUUGCGAAAAAUAUGAAAAUAAAGUUUAGGAGGUGAAAACUCAAAUUUUCAGAGGCGAGUUUGGGAAUUCUAAAUUUGUCGCACCCGCCUAUGGCGGGGAUAGACAAAUCCAAAAAUUUUUCUGAUCGACUUUGAUAUAUGGAACGUCAAAAUCGGAGUUCGUAGGCGAAAGUUAUGGCUGUUUUACGAACGGACUCUGAAUUAGAGGACAAAACGGUGCGGAAGUGGGAAAAAAUUGCGGUGGUGGCUAGAAAUUGAUGGAAACGGUGGGAAAAACACACAAACUGGACUCUAACAAGACCAAAUUAGUAACAAGACCUCGACCAAGACACAAACUCAACACUACGGACUAUGAAACUCAAAUAUGCAAAGGUUAUGGCGCGGAUGGGUUGUAGGACAUGAAAACAAUUUGGCACUAGACUUAUGGGACGAACGCAAGGACACUCGAAACUAAGGGUAGAUGUGAACCUAACGGUACGUCUGAAGCUUUGAUUACCACUUGAGGAGAACAAGGCCCGAUCUUCCGAAAGGUUCUGGUAACUAUCGAUUUCAUGGAAACGAGACACAAAUUAAUCCAGUUUGCGAACAACACGAUUCGAAACCCUGCAAUUCUUUUUAUUUUUUUGAUAUUUUUCUUUUACUUAGGAGCACUCAAGAAGUAACCACAGGAAAUUUGAGCUUAAACAAGUGAAGGACGUGGCCUGUGGAAUUUUUUGAAGAUUGCGAAAAAUAUGAAAAUAAAGUUUAGGAGGUGAAAACUCAAAUUUUCAGAGGCGAGUUUGGGAAUUCUAAAUUUGUCGCACCCGCCUAUGGUGGGGCUAGACAGAUCCAAAAAUUUUUCUGAUCGAUUUUGAUAUAUGAAACGUCAAAAUCAGAGUUCGUAGGCGAAAGUUAUGGCUGUUUUACGAACGGACUCUGAAUUAGAGGACAAAACGGUCCGGAAGUGGGAAAAUUUUGUGGUGGUGGCUAUAAAUUGAUGGAAACGGUGGGAAGAAACACACAAAUUGGACUCUAACAAGACCUAACCAGUAACAAGAUCUCGACCAGGACACAAACUCAACACUACAGACUCUGAAACUGAAAUAUGCAAAGGCUAUGGCGCGGAUGGGUUGUAGGACAUGAAAACAAUAUAGCACUAGACUUAUGGGACGAACACAAGGACACUCGAAACUAAGUAUAGAUGUGAACCUAACGGUACGUCUGAAGCUUUGAUUAACACUUGAGGAGAACAAGUGUGGCCCGAUCUUCCGAAAGGUUCUAGUAACUAUCAAUUUGGUGGAAACGAGACCCAAAUCAAUCCAUCUUGCGAACAACGCGGUUCGAAACCCUGCAAUUCUUUUUAUUUUUUUUGAUAUUUUUCUUUUACUUAGGAGCACUCAAGAAGUAACCAUAGGAAACUUCAGCUUAAACAAGUGAAAGACUUGGCCUGUGGAAUUUUUUGAAGAUUGCGAAAAAUAUAAAAAAACUUUAGGAGGUGAAAACUCAAACUUUAGGAGCGAAUUUGGGGAUUCUAAAAUUAUUGAACCCACCUCUAGCGGAGAUAGACAGAUCUAAAAAUUUGUUGUGAUCGAUUUUGAUAUAUGGAACGUCAAUAUCGGAGUUCAUAUGCGAAAGUUAUGGCUGUUUUACGAACGGACUCCAAAUUAGAGGACAAACGGAAGUGGGAAAAAUUUGUGGUGGUGGCUAGAAAUUGAUGGAAACGGUGGGAAAAAACACACAAACUGGACUCUAACAAGACCAAAUCAGUAACAAGACCUCGACCAGGACAGAAACUCAACACUACGGACUCUGAAACUGAAAUAUGCAAAGGUUAUGGCGCGGAUGGGUUGUAGGACAUGAAAACAAUUUGGCACUAGACUUAUGGGAGGAACACAAGGACACUCGAAACUAAGGGUAGAUGUGAACCUAACAGUACGUCUGAAGCUUUGAUUACCACUUGAGGAGAACAAGGCCCGAUCUUCCGAAAGCUUCCGGUAACUAUCGAUUUGGUGGAAACGGGACACAAAUCAAUCCAGUUUGCGAACAACACGAUUCGAAACCCUGCAAUUCUUUUUUUUGAUAUUUUUCUUUUACUUAAGAGCACUGAAGAAGUAACCACAAGAAAUUUGAGCUUAAACAAGUGAACGACGUGGCCUGUGGAAUUUUUUGAAGAUUGCGAAAAAUAUGAAAAUAAAGUUUAGGAGGUGAAAACUCAAAUUUUCAGAGGCGAGUUUGGGAAUUCUAAAUUCGUCGCACCCGCCUAUGGCUGGGAUAGACAGAUCCAAAAUUUUUUCUGAUCGAUUUUGAUAUAUGGAACGUCAAAAUCGGAGUUCGUAGGCGAAAGUUAUGGCUGUUUUACGAACGGACUACGAAUUAGGGGACAAAACAGUCCGGAAGUAGGAAAAUUUUGCGGUGGUGGCUAUAAAUUGAUGGAAAGGGUGGGAAGAAACACACAAAUUGGACUCUAACAAGAUCUAACCAGUAACAUGAUCUCGACUAGGACACAAACUCAACACUACGGGCUCUGAAACUGAAAUAUGCAAAGGCUGUGGCGCGGAUGGGGUGUAGGACAUGAAAACAAUAUAGCACUAGGCUUAUGGGACGAACACAAGGACACUCGAAACUAAGGAUAGAUAUGAACCUAACGGUACGUCUGGAGCUUUGAUUAACACUUGAGGAGAACAAGUGUGGCCCGAUCUUCCGAAAGGUUCUAGUAACUAUCAGUUUUGUGGAAACGAGACCCAAAUCAAUCCAUCUUGCGAACAACACGGUUCGAAACUAUGCAAUUUUUUUUUUGAUAUUUUUCUUUUACUUAGGAGCACUCAAGAAGUAACCAUAGGAAAUUUGAGCUUAAACAAGUGAAAGACUUGGCCUGUGAAAUUUUUUGAAGAUUACGAAGAAUAUAAAAAAACUUUAGGAGGUGAAAACUCAAACUUCAGGGGCGAAUUUGGGGAUUCUAAAAUUAUCGAACCCACCUCUAGCAAAGAUAGACAGAUCCAAAAAUUUGUUCUGAUCGAUUUUGAUAUAUGGAACGUCAAUAUCGGAGUUCCUAUGCGAAAGUUAUGGCUGUUUUACGAACGGACUCUGAAUUAGAGGACAAAACGGUCCGGAAGUGGGAAAAUUUUACGGUGGUGGCUAUAAAUUGAUGGAAACGGUGGGAAGAAACACACAAAUUGGACUCUAACAAGACCUAACCAGUAACACUGAAACUGAAAUAUGUAAAGGCUAUGGCGCGGAUGGGUUGUAGGACAUGAAAACAAUAUAGCACUAGACUUAUGGGACGGACAUAAGGACACUCGAAACUAAGGAUAGAUAUGAACCUAACGGUACGUCUGAAGCUUUGAUUAACACUUGAGGAGAACAAGUGUGGCCCGAUCUUCCGAAAGGUUCUAGUAACUAUCAAUUUGGUGGAAACGAGACCCAAAUCAAUCCAUCUUGCGAACAACGCGAUUCGAAACCCUGCAAUUCUUUUUAUUUUUUUUGAUAUUUUUCUUUUACUUAGGAGCACUCAAGAAGUAACCAUAGGAAAUUUGAGCUUAAACAAGUGAAGGACGUGGCCUGUGGAAUUUUUUGAAGAUUGCGAAAAAUAUAAAAAAACUUUAGGAGGUGAAGACUCAAACUUCAGGGGCGAAUUUGGGGAUUCUAAAAUUAUCGAACCCACCUCUAGCAGAGAUAGACAGAUCCAAAAAUUUGUUCUGAUCGAUUUUGAUAUAUGGAACGUCAAUAUCGGAGUUCGUAUGCGAAAGUUAUGACUGUUUUACGAACGGACUCCGAAUUAGAGGACAAAACGGUCCGGAAGUGGGAAAAAUUUGUGGUGGUGGCUAGAAAUUGAUGGAAACGGUGGGAAAAAACACACAAACUGGACUCUAACAAGACCAAAUCAGUAACAAGACCUCGACCAGGACACAAACUCAACACUACGGAAUCUGAAACUGAAAUAUGCAAAGGUUAUGGCGCGGAUGGGUUGUAGGACAUGAAAACAAUUUGGCACUAGACUUAUGGGAGGAACACAAGGACACUCGAAACUAAGGGUAGAUGUGAACCUAACAGUACGUCUGAAGCUUUGAUUACCACUUGAGGAGAACAAGGCCCGAUCUUCCGAAAGGUUCUUUUAACUAUCGAUUUCGUGGAAACGAGACACAAAUCAAUCCAGUUUGCGAACAACACGAUUCGAAACCCUACAAUUCUUUUUUUUGAUAUUUUUCUUUUACUUAGGAGCACUGAAGAAGUAACCACAAGAAAUUUGAGCUUAAACAAGUGAAGGACGUGGCCUGUGGAAUUUUUUGAAGAUUGCGAAAAAUAUGAAAAUAAAGUUUAGGAGGUGAAAACUCAAAUUUUCAGAGGCGAGUUUGGGAAUUCUAAAUUCGUCGCACCCGCCAAUGGCUGGGAUAGAUAGAUCCAAAAAUUUUUCUGAUCGAUUUUGAUAUAUGGAACGUCAAAAUCGGAGUUCGUAGGCGAAAGUUAUGGCUGUUUUACGAACGGACUCCGAAUUAGGGGACAAAACAGUCCGGAAGUGGGAAAAUUUUGCGGUGGUGGCUAUAAAUUGAUGGAAAGGGUGGGAAGAAACACACAAAUUGGACUCUAACAAGACCUAACCAGUAACAAGAUCUCGACCAGGUCACAAACUCAACACUACGGACUCUGAAACUGAAAUAUGCAAAGGCUAUGGCGCGGAUGGGUUGUAGGACAUGAAAACAAUAUAGCACUAGACUUAUGGGACGAACACAAGGACACUCGAAACUAAGGAUAGAUAUGAACCUAACGGUACGUCUGAAGCUUUGAUUAACAUUUGAGGAGAACAAGUGUGGCCCGAUCUUCCGAAAGGUUCUAGUAACUAUCAAUUUUGUGGAAACGAGACCCAAAUCAAUCCAUCUUGCGAACAACACGGUUCGAAACUAUGCAAUUUUUUUUUUGAUAUUUUUCUUUUACUUAGGAGCACUCAAGAAGUAACCAUAGGAAAUUUGAGCUUAAACAAGUGAAAGACUUGGCCUGUGAAAUUUUUUGAAGAUUACGAAGAAUAUAAAAAAACUUUAGGAGGUGAAAACUCAAACUUCAGGGGCGAAUUUGGGGAUUCUAAAAUUAUCGAACCCACCUCUAGCAAAGAUAGACAGAUCCAAAAAUUUGUUCUGAUCGAUUUUGAUAUAUGGAACGUCAAUAUCGGAGUUCCUAUGCGAAAGUUAUGGCUGUUUUACGAACGGACUCUGAAUUAGAGGACAAAACGGUCCGGAAGUGGGAAAAUUUUACGGUGGUGGCUAUAAAUUGAUGGAAACGGUGGGAAAAAACACACAAACUGGACUCUAACAAGACCAAAUCAGUAACAAGACCUCGACCAGGACACAAACUCAACACUACGGACUCUGAAACUGAAAUAUGCAAAGGUUAUGGCGCGGAUGGGUUGUAGGACAUGAAAACAAUUUGGCACUAGACUUAUGGGACGAACACAAGGACACUCGAAACUAAGGGUAGAUGUCAACCUAACGGUACGUCUGAAGCUUUGAUUACCACUUGAGGAGAACAAGGCCCGAUCUUCCGAAAGGUUCUGGUAACUAUCGAUUUGGUGGAAACGAGACACAAAUCAAUCCAGUUUGCGAACAACACGAUUCGAAACCUUGCAAUUCUUUUUUUUUUGAUAUUUUUCCUUUUACUUAGGAGCACUGAAGAAGUAACCACAAGAAAUUUGAGCUUAAACAAGUGAAGGACGUGGCCUGUGGAAUUUUUUGAAGAUUGCGAAAAAUAUGAAAAUAAAGUUUAGGAGGUGAAAACUCAAAUUUUCAGAGGCGAGUUUAGGAAUUCUAAAUUUGUCGCACCCGCCUAUGGCAGGGAUAGACAGAUCCAAAAAUUUUUCUGAUCGAUUUUGAUAUAUGGAACGUCAAAAUCGGAGUUCGUAGGCGAAAGUUAUGGCUCUUUUACGAACGGACUCAGAAUUAGAGGACAAAACGGUCCGGAAGUGGGAAAAAUUUGCGGUGGCGGCUAGAAAUUGAUGGAAACGGUGGGAAAAACACACAAACUGGACUCUAACAAGACCAAAUUAGUAACAAGACCUCGACCAGGACACAAACUCAACACUACGGACUAUGAAACGGAAAUAUGCAAAGGUUAUGGCGCGGAUGGGUUGUAGGACAUGAAAACAAUUUGGCACUAGACUUAUGGGACGAACACAAGGACACUCGAAACUAAGGGUAGAUGUGAACCUAACGGUACGUCUGAAGCUUUGAUUACCACUUGAGGAGAACAAGGCCCGAUCUUCCGAAAGGGUCUGGUAACUAUCGAUUUGGUGGAAACGAGACACAAAUUAAUCCAGUUUGCGAACAACACGAUUCGAAACCCGGCAAUUCUUUUUAUUUUUUUUGAUAUUUUUCUUUUACUUAGGAGCACUCAAGAAGUAACCACAAGAAAUUUGAGCUUAAACAAGUGAAGGACGUGGCCUGUGGAAUUUUUUGAAGAUUGCGAAAAAUAUGAAAAUAAAGUUUAGGAGGUGAAAACUCAAAUUUUUCAGAGGCGAGUUUGGGAAUUCUAAAUUUGUCGCACCCGCCUAUGGUGGGGAUAGACAGAUCCAAAAAAUUUUCUGAUCGAUUUUGAUAUAUGGAACGUCAAAAUCAGAGUUCGUAGGCCAAAGUUAUGGCUGUUUUACGAACGGACUCUGAAUUAGAGGACAAAACGGUCCGGAAGUGGGAAAAUUUUACGGUGGUGGCUAUAAAUUGAUGGAAACGGUGGGAAGAAACACACAAAUUGGACUCUAACAAGACCUAACCAGUAACAAGAUCUCGACCAGGACACAAACUCAACACUACGGACUCUGAAACUGAAAUAUGCAAAGGCUAUGGCGCGGAUGGGUUGUAGGACAUGAAAACAAUAUAGCACUAGACUUAUGGGACGAACACAAGGACACUCGAAACUAAGGAUAGAUAUGAACCUAACGGUACGUCUGAAGCUUUGAUUAACACUUGAGGAGAACAAGUAUGGCCCGAUCUUCCGAAACGUUCUAGUAACUAUCAAUUUGGUGGAAACGAGACCCAAAUCAAUCCAUCUUGCGAACAACGCGGUUCGAAACCCUGCAAAUCUUUUUAUUUAUUUUUUUUGAUAUUUUUAUUUUACUUAGGAGCACUCAAGAAGUAACCAUAGAAAUUUUGAGCUUAAACAAGUGAAAGACUUGGCCUGUGGAAUUUUUUGAAGAUUGCGAAAAAUAAAAAAAACUUUAGGAGGUGAAAACUCAAAUUUCAGGGGCGAAUUUGGGGAUUCUAAAAUUAUCGAACCCACCUCUAGCGGAGAUAGACAGAUCCAAAAAUUUGUUCUGAUCGAUUAUGAUAUAUGGAACGUCAAUAUCGGAGUUCGUAUGCGAAAGUUAUGACUGUUUUACGAACGGACUCCGAAUUAGAGGACAAAACGGUCCGGAAGUGGGAAAAAUUUGUGGUGGUGGCUAGAAAUUGAUGGAAACGGUGGGAAAAAACACACAAACUGGACUCUAACAAGACCAAAUCAGUAACAAGACCUCGACCAGGACACAAACUCAACACUACGGAAUCUGAAACUGAAAUAUGCAAAGGUUAUGGCGCGGAUGGGUUGUAGGACAUGAAAACAAUUUGGCACUAGACUUAUGGGAGGAACACAAGGACACUCGAAACUAAGGGUAGAUGUGAACCUAACAGUACGUCUGAAGCUUUGAUUACCACUUGAGGAGAACAAGGCCCGAUCUUCCGAAAGGUUCUUUUAACUAUCGAUUUCGUGGAAACGAGACACAAAUCAAUCCAGUUUGCGAACAACACGAUUCGAAACCCUACAAUUCUUUUUUUUGAUAUUUUUCUUUUACUUAGGAGCACUGAAGAAGUAACCACAAGAAAUUUGAGCUUAAACAAGUGAAGGACGUGGCCUGUGGAAUUUUUUGAAGAUUGCGAAAAAUAUGAAAAUAAAGUUUAGGAGGUGAAAACUCAAAUUUUCAGAGGCGAGUUUGGGAAUUCUAAAUUCGUCGCACCCGCCAAUGGCUGGGAUAGAUAGAUCCAAAAAUUUUUCUGAUCGAUUUUGAUAUAUGGAACGUCAAAAUCGGAGUUCGUAGGCGAAAGUUAUGGCUGUUUUACGAACGGACUCCGAAUUAGGGGACAAAACAGUCCGGAAGUGGGAAAAUUUUGCGGUGGUGGCUAUAAAUUGAUGGAAAGGGUGGGAAGAAACACACAAAUUGGACUCUAACAAGACCUAACCAGUAACAAGAUCUCGACCAGGUCACAAACUCAACACUACGGACUCUGAAACUGAAAUAUGCAAAGGCUAUGGCGCGGAUGGGUUGUAGGACAUGAAAACAAUAUAGCACUAGACUUAUGGGACGAACACAAGGACACUCGAAACUAAGGAUAGAUAUGAACCUAACGGUACGUCUGAAGCUUUGAUUAACACUUGAGGAGAACAAGUAUGGCCCGAUCUUCCGAAACGUUCUAGUAACUAUCAAUUUGGUGGAAACGAGACCCAAAUCAAUCCAUCUUGCGAACAACGCGGUUCGAAACCCUGCAAAUCUUUUUAUUUAUUUUUUCUGAUAUUUUUAUUUUACUUAGGAGCACUCAAGAAGUAACCAUAGAAAUUUUGAGCUUAAACAAGUGAAAGACUUGGCCUGUGGAAUUUUUUGAAGAUUGCGAAAAAUAAAAAAAACUUUAGGAGGUGAAAACUCAAAUUUCAGGGGCGAAUUUGGGGAUUCUAAAAUUAUCGAACCCACCUCUAGCGGAGAUAGACAGAUCCAAAAAUUUGUUCUGAUCGAUUAUGAUAUAUGGAACGUCAAAAUCGGAAUUCGUAUGCGACAGUUAUGGCUGUUUUACGAACGGACUCCGAAUUAGAGGACAAACAGUCCGGAAGUGGGAAACAUUUGCGGCGGUGCCUAUAAAUUGAUGGAAACGGUGGGAAGAAACACACAAAUUUGACUCUAACAAGACCUAGCCAGUAACACUGAAACUGAAAUAUGCAAAGGUUAUGGCGCGGAUGGGUUGUAGGACAUGAAAACAAUAUAGCACUAGACUUAUGGGAUGAACAUAAAGACACUCGAAACUAAGGAUAGAUAUGAACCUAACGGUACGUCUGAAGCUUUGAUUAACACUUGAGGAGAACAAGUGUGGCCCGAUCUUCCGAAAGGUUCUAGUAACUAUCAAUUUGGUGGAAACGAGACCCAAAUCAAUCCAUCUUGCGAACAACGCGGUUCGAAACCCUGCAAUUCUAUUUUUUUUUUGAUAUUUGUCUUUUACUUAGGAGCACUCAAGAAGUAACCAUAGGAAAUUUGAGCUUAAACAAGUGAAAGACUUGGCCUGUGGAAUUUUUUUAAGAUUGUGAAAAAUAUAAAAAAACUUUAGGAGAUGAAAACUCAAACUUCAGGGGCGAAUUUGGGGAUUCUAAAAUUAUCGAACCCACCUCUAGUGGAGAUAGACAGAUCCAAAAAUUUGUUCUGAUCGAUUUUGAUAUAUGGAACGUCAAUAUCGGAGUUCGUAUGCGAAAGUUAUGGCUGUUUUACGAACGGACUCCGAAUUAGAGGACAAAACGGUCCGGAAGUGGGAAAAAUUUGUGGUGGUGGCUAGAAAUUAAUGGAAACGGUGGGAAAAAACACACAAACUGGACUCUAACAAGACCAAAUCAGUAACAAGACCUCGACCAGGACACAAACUCAACACUACGGACUCUAAAACUGAAAUAUGCAAAGGUUAUGGCGCGGAUGGGUUGUAGGACAUGAAAACAAUUUGGCACUAGACUUAUGGGACGAACACAAGGACACUCGAAACUAAGGAUAGAUGUGAACCUAACGGUACGUCUGAAGCUUUGAUUACCACAUGAGGAGAACAAGGCCCGAUCUUCCGAAAGGUUCUGGUAACUAUCGAUUUGGUGGAAACGAGACACAAAUCAAUCCAGUUUGCGAACAACACGAUUCGAAACCCUGCAAUUCUUUUUUUUGAUAUUUUUCUUUUACUUAGGAGCACUCAAGAAGUAACCACAGGAAAUUUGAGCUUGAACAAGUGAAGGACGUGGCCUGUGGAAUUUUUUGAAGAUUGCGAAAAUAUGAAAAGAAAGUUUAGGAGGUGAAAACUCAAAUUUUCAGAGGCGAGUUUAGGAAUUCUAAAUUUGUCGCACCUGCCUAUGGCGGGGAUAGACAGAUCCAAAAAUUUUUCUGAUCGAUUUUGAUAUAUGGAACGUCAAAAUCGGAGUUUGUAGGCGAAAGUUAUGGCUGUUUUAUGAACGGACUCUGAAUUAGAGGACAAAACGGUCCGGAAGUGGGAAAAAUUUGCGGUGGUGGCUAGAAAUUGAUGGAAACGGUGGGAAAAACACACAAACUGGACUCUAACAAGACCAAAUUAGUAACAAGACCUUGACCAGGACACAAACUCAACACUACGGACUAUGAAACUGAAAUAUGCAAAGGUUAUGGCGCGGAUGGGUUGUAGGACAUGAAAACAAUUUGGCACUAGACUUAUGGGACGAACACAAGGACACUCGAAACUAAGGGUAGAUGUGAACCUAAUGGUACGUCUGAAGCUUUGAUUACCACUUGAGGAGAACAAGGCCCGAUCUUGCGAAAGGUUCUGGUAACUAUCGAUUUGGUGGAAACGAGACACAAAUUAAUCCAGUUUGCGAACAACACGAUUCGAAACCCUACAAUUCUUUUUAUUUUUUUGAUAUUUUUAUUUUACUUAGGAGCACUCAAGAAGUAACCACAAGAAAUUUGAGCUUAAACAAGUGAAGGACGUGGCCUGUGGAAUUUUUUGAAGAUUGCGAAAAAUAUAAAAAUAAAGUUUAGGAGGUGAAAACUCAAAUUUUCAGAGGCGAGUUUGGGAAUUCUAAAUUUGUCGCACCCGCCUAUGGUGGGGAUAGACAGAUCCAAAAAUUUUUCUGAUCAAUUUUGAUAUAUGGAACGUUAAAAUCAGUGUUCGUAGGCGAAAGUUAUGGCUGUUUUACGAACGGACUCUGAAUUAGAGGACAAAACGGUCCGGAAGUGGGAAAAAUUUGCGGUGGUGGCUAGAAAUUGAUGGAAACGGUGGGAAAAACACACAAACUGGACUCUAACAAGACCAAAUUAGUAACAAGACCUCGACCAGGACACAAACUCAACACUACGGACUAUGAAACUGAAAUAUGCAAAGGUUAUGGAGCGGAUGGGUUGUAGGACAUGAAAACAAUUUGGCACUAGACUUAUGGGACGAACACAAGGACACUCGAAACUAAGGGUAGAUGUGAACCUAACGGUGCGUCUGAAGCUUUGAUUACCACUUGAGGAGAACAAGGCCCGAUCUUCCGAAAGGUUUUGGUAACUAUCGAUUUGGUGGAAACAAGACACAAAUUAAUCCAGUUUGCGAACAACACGAUUAGAAACCCUGCAAUUCUUUUUAUUUUUUUUAUUUGAUAUUUUUGUUUUACUUAGGAGCACCGAACAAGUAGCCACAGGAAAUUUGAGCUUAAACAAGUGAAAGACGUUGCCUGUGGAAUUUUUUUAGAUUGCGAAAAAUAUGAAAAUAAACUUUAGGAGGUGAAAACUCAAAUUUAAAGGCAAAUUUGGGGAUUCUAAAAUUAUCAAACCCGCCUCUAGCAGAGAUAAACAGAUCCAAAAAUUUGUUCUGAUCGAUUUUGAUAUAUGGAACGUCAAAAUCGGAAUUCGUAUGCGAAAGUUAUGGUUGUUUUACGAACGGACUCCGAAUUAGAGGACAAAACAGUCCGGAAGUGGGAAACAUUUGCGGCGGUGGCUAUAAAUUGAUGGCAACGGUGGGAAGAAACACACAAAUUGGACUCUAACAAGACCUAACCAGUAACAAGAUCUCGACCAGGACACAAACUCAACACUACGGACACUGAAACUGAAAUAUAGGCUAUGGCGCGGAUGGGUUGUAGGACAUGAAAACAAUAUAGCACUAGACUUAUGGGACGAACACAAGGACACUCGAAACUAAGGAUAGAUAUGAACCUAACGGUACGUCUGAAGCUUUGAUUAACACUUGAGGAGAACAAGUGUGGCCCGAUCUUCCGAAACGUUCUAGUAACUAUCAAUUUGGUGGAAACGAGACCCAAAUCAAUCCAUCUUGCGAACAACGCGGUUCGAAACCCUGCAAUUCUUUUUAUUUUUAUUUUGAUAUUUUUCUUUUACUUAGGAGCACUCAAGAAGUAACCAUAGGAAAUUUGAGCUUAAACAAGUGAAAGACUUGGCCCGUGGAAUUUUUUGAAGAUUGCGAAAAAUAUAAAAAAAACUUUUGGAGUUGAAAACUCAAAUUUUAGAGGCAAAUUUGGGGAUUCUAAAAUUGUCAAACGCGCACACGGCGGGGAUAGACAGAUCCAAAAGUUUGUUCUGAUCGAUUUUGAUAUAUGGAACGUCAAAAUCGGAGUUCGUAUGCGAAAAUUUUGUCUGUUUUACGAACGGACAACGAAUUAGAGGACAAAACAGUCCGGUAGUGGGAAAAAUUUGCGCGGUGGCUAUAAAUUGAUGGAAAUGGUGGGAAGAAACACACAAAUUGGACUCUAACAAGACCUAACCAGUAACAAGAUCUCGACCAGGACCCAAACUCAAAACUACGGACUCUGAAACUGAAAUAUGCAAAGGCUAUGGCGCGGAUGGGUUGUAGGACAUAAAAACAAUAUAGCAUUAGACUUAUGGGACAAACACAAGGACACUCGAAACUAAGGAUAGAUUUGAAAAUAACAGUACGUCUGAACCUUUGAUUAACACUUGAGGAGAACAAGUGUGGCCCGAUCUUCCGAAAGGUUCUAGUAACUAUCAAUUUGGUGGAAACGAGACCCAAAUCAAUCCACCUUGCGAACAACGCGGUUCGAAACUCUGCAAUUCUUUUUAUUUUUUUUUUAUAUUUUUCUUUUACUUAGGAGCACUCAAGAAGUAACCACCGGAAAUUUGAGCUUAAACAAGUAAAAGACGUGGCCUGUGGAAAUUUUUGAAGAUUGCAAAAAAUAUAGAAAAAAAUUUAGGAGGUGAAAACUCAAACUUCAGGGGCGAAUUUGGGGAUUCUAAAAUUAUCGAACCCGCCCUUAGCGGAAAUAGACAGAUCCAAAAAUUUGUUCUGAUCGAUUUUGAUAUAUGGAACGUCAAAAUCGGAGUUCGUAUGCGAAAGUUAUGGCUGUUCUACGAACGGACUCCGAAUUAGAGGACAAAACGGUCCGGAAGUGGGAAAAAUUUACGGUGGUGGCUAGAAAUUGAUGGAAACGGUGGGAAAAAACACACAAACUAGACUCUAACAACACCAAAUCAGUAACAAGACCUCGACCAGGACACAAACUCAACACUACGGACUCUAAAACUAAAAUAUGCAAAGGUUAUGGCGCGGAUGGGUUGUAGGACAUAAAAACAAUAUGGCACUGGAUUUAUGGGACGAACACAAGGACACACGAAACUAAGGGUAGAUGUGAACCUAACGGUACGUCUGAAGCUUUGAUUACCACUUGAGGAGAACAAGGCCCGAUCUUCCGAAAGGUUCUGUUAACUAUCGAUUUGGUGGAAACGAGACACAAAUCAAUCCAGUUUGCGAACAACACGAUUCGAAACCCUGCAAUUCUUUUUAUUUUUUUGAUAUUUUUCUUUUACUUAGGAGCACACAAGAAGUAAGCACAGGAAAUUUGAGCUUAAACAAGUGAGGGACGUGGCCUGUGGAAUUUUUUGAAGAUUGUGAAAAAUAUGAAAAUAAAGUUUAGGAGCUGAAAACUCAAAUUUUCAGAGGCGAGUUUGGGGAUUCUAAAUUUGUCGCACCCGCCUAUGGUGGGGAUAGAUAGAUCCAAAAAUUUUUCUGAUCGAUUAUGAUAUAUGGAAUGUCAAAAUCGGAGUUCGUAGGCGAAAGUUAUGGCUGUUUUACGAACGGACUCUGAAUUAGAGGACAAAACGGUCCGGAAGUGGGAAAAAUUUGCGGUGGUGGCUAGAAAUUGAUGGAAACGGUGGGAAAAAAUACACAAACUGGACUCAAACAAGACCUAACCAGUAACAAGACCUCGACCAGGACACAAACUCAAAACUACGGAUUCUGAAACUAAAAUAUGCAAACGCUAUGGCGCAGAUGAGUUGUAGGACAUGAAAACAAUAUGGAACUAGGCUUAUGAGACGAACACAAGGACACUCGAAACUAAGGGUAGAUGUGAACCUAACGGUAUGUCUGAUGCUUUGAUUUCCACUUGAGGAGAACAAGUGUGGCCCGAUCUUCCGAAAGGUUCUGGUAACUAUCGAUUUGGUAGAAACGAGACACAAAUCAAUCCAGCUUACGAACAACACGAUUCGAAACCCUACAAUUCUUAUUUUUUGAUAUUUUUCUUUUACUUAGGAGCACUCAAGAAGUAAGCAUAGGAAAUUUGAGCUUAAACAAGUGAAAUACGUGACCUGUGGAAACUUUUGAAUAUUGCGAAAAAUAUAGAAAAAAAUUUAGGAGGUGAAAACUCAAACUUCAGGGGCGAAUUUGGGGAUUCUAAAAUUAUCGAACCCGCCCUUAACGGAAAUAGACAGAUCCAAAAAUUUGUUCUGAUCGAUUUUGAUAUAUGGAACGUCAAAAUCGGAGUUCGUAUACGAAAGUUAUGGCUGUUCUACGAACGGACUCUGAAUUAGAGGACAAAACGGUCCGGAAGUGGGAAAAAUUUACGGUGGUGGCUAGAAAUUGAUGGAAACGGUGGGAAAAAACACACAAACUGGACUCUAACAACACCAAAUCAGUAACAAGACCUCGACCAGGACACAAACUCAACACUACGGACUCUAAAACUAAAAUAUGCAAAGGUUAUGGCGCGGAUGGGUUGUAGGACAUAAAAACAAUAUGGCACUGGAUUUAUGGGACGAACACAAGGACACACGAAACUAAGGGUAGAUGUGAACCUAACGGUACGUCUGAAGCUUUGAUUACCACUUGAGGAGAACAAGGCCCGAUCUUCCGAAAGGUUCUGUUAACUAUCGAUUUGGUGGAAACGAGACACAAAUCAAUCCAGUUUGCGAACAACACGAUUCGAAACCCUGCAAUUCUUUUUAUUUUUUUGAUAUUUUUCUUUUACUUAGGAGCACACAAGAAGUAAGCACAGGAAAUUUGAGCUUAAACAAGUGAGGGACGUGGCCUGUGGAAUUUUUUGAAGAUUGUGAAAAAUAUGAAAAUAAAGUUUAGGAGCUGAAAACUCAAAUUUUCAGAGGCGAGUUUGGGGAUUCUAAAUUUGUCGCACCCGCCUAUGGUGGGGAUAGAUAGAUCCAAAAAUUUUUCUGAUCGAUUAUGAUAUAUGGAAUGUCAAAAUCGGAGUUCGUAGGCGAAAGUUAUGGCUGUUUUACGAACGGACUCUGAAUUAGAGGACAAAACGGUCCGGAAGUGGGAAAAAUUUGCGGUGGUGGCUAGAAAUUGAUGGAAACGGUGGGAAAAAAUACACAAACUGGACUCAAACAAGACCUAACCAGUAACAAGACCUCGACCAGGACACAAACUCAAAACUACGGAUUCUGAAACUAAAAUAUGCAAACGCUAUGGCGCAGAUGAGUUGUAGGACAUGAAAACAAUAUGGAACUAGGCUUAUGAGACGAACACAAGGACACUCGAAACUAAGGGUAGAUGUGAACCUAACGGUAUGUCCGAUGCUUUGAUUUCCACUUGAGGAGAACAAGUGUGGCCCGAUCUUCCGAAAGGUUCUGGUAACUAUCGAUUUGGUAGAAACGAGACACAAAUCAAUCCAGCUUACGAACAACACGAUUCGAAACCCUACAAUUCUUAUUUUUUGAUAUUUUUCUUUUACUUAGGAGCACUCAAGAAGUAAGCAUAGGAAAUUUGAGCUUAAACAAGUGAAAUACGUGACCUGUGGAAACUUUUGAAUAUUGCGAAAAAUAUAGAAAAAAAUUUAGGAGGUGAAAACUCAAACUUCAGGGGCGAAUUUGGGGAUUCUAAAAUUAUCGAACCCGCCCUUAACGGAAAUAGACAGAUCCAAAAAUUUGUUCUGAUCGAUUUUGAUAUAUGGAACGUCAAAAUCGGAGUUCGUAUACGAAAGUUAUGGCUGUUCUACGAACGGACUCUGAAUUAGAGGACAAAACGGUCCGGAAGUGGGAAAAAUUUACGGUGGUGGCUAGAAAUUGAUGGAAACGGUGGGAAAAAACACACAAACUGGACUCUAACAACACCAAAUCAGUAACAAGACCUCGACCAGGACACAAACUCAACACUACGGACUCUAAAACUAAAAUAUGCAAAGGUUAUGGCGCGGAUGGGUUGUAGGACAUAAAAACAAUAUGGCACUGGAUUUAUGGGACGAACACAAGGACACACGAAACUAAGGGUAGAUGUGAACCUAACGGUACGUCUGAAGCUUUGAUUACCACUUGAGGAGAACAAGGCCCGAUCUUCCGAAAGGUUCUGUUAACUAUCGAUUUGGUGGAAACGAGACACAAAUCAAUCCAGUUUGCGAACAACACGAUUCGAAACCCUGCAAUUCUUUUUAUUUUUUUGAUAUUUUUCUUUUACUUAGGAGCACACAAGAAGUAAGCACAGGAAAUUUGAGCUUAAACAAGUGAGGGACGUGGCCUGUGGAAUUUUUUGAAGAUUGUGAAAAAUAUGAAAAUAAAGUUUAGGAGCUGAAAACUCAAAUUUUCAGAGGCGAGUUUGGGGAUUCUAAAUUUGUCGCACCCGCCUAUGGUGGGGAUAGAUAGAUCCAAAAAUUUUUCUGAUCGAUUAUGAUAUAUGGAAUGUCAAAAUCGGAGUUCGUAGGCGAAAGUUAUGGCUGUUUUACGAACGGACUCUGAAUUAGAGGACAAAACGGUCCGGAAGUGGGAAAAAUUUACGGUGGUGGCUAGAAAUUGAUGGAAACGGUGGGAAAAAACACACAAACUGGACUCAAACAAGACCUAACCAGUAACAAGACCUCGACCAGGACACAAACUCAAAACUACGGAUUCUGAAACUAAAAUAUGCAAACGCUAUGGCGCAGAUGAGUUGUAGGACAUGAAAACAAUAUGGAACUAGGCUUAUGAGACGAACACAAGGACACUCGAAACUAAGGGUAGAUGUGAACCUAACGGUAUGUCUGAUGCUUUGAUUUCCACUUGAGGAGAACAAGUGUGGCCCGAUCUUCCGAAAGGUUCUGGUAACUAUCGAUUUGGUGGAAACGAGACACAAAUCAAUCCAGCUUACGAACAACACGAUUCGAAACCCUACAAUUCUUAUUUUUUGAUAUUUUUCUUUUACUUAGGAGCUCUCAAGAAGUAAGCAUAGGAAAUUUGAGCUUAAACAAGUGAAAUACGUGACCUGUGGAAACUUUUGAAUAUUGCGAAAAAUAUGAAAAAAACUUUUGGAGGUGAAAACUCAAACUUUAGAGGCGAAUUUGGGGAUUCUAAAAUUGUCAAACCCGCACACGGUGGGGAUAGACAGAUCCAAAAAUUUGGUUUGAUCGAUUUUGAUAUAUAGAACGUCAAAAUCGGAGUUCGUAUGCGAAAAUUAUGGCUGUUUUACGAACGGACACCGAAUUAGAGGACAAAACAGUCCGGUAGUGGGAAAAAUUUGCGCGGGUGGCUAUAAAUUGAUGGAAACGGUGGGAAGAAACAUACAAAUUGGACUCUAACAACACCUAACCAGUAACAAGAUCUCGACCAGGACACAAACUCAACACUACGGACUCUGAAACGGAAAUAUGCAAAGGCUAUGGCGCGGAUGGGUUGUAGGACAUAAAAACAAUAUAGCACUAGACUUAUGGGACGAACACAAGGACACUCGAAACAAAGGAUAGAUGUGAACCUAACGGUACGUCUGAAGCUUUGAUUACCACUUGAGGAGAACAAGUGUGGCCCGAUCUUCCGAAAGGUUCUGGUAACUAUCGAUUUGGUGGAAACGAGACCCAAAUCAAUCCACCUUGCGAACAACGCGGUUCGAAACCCUACAAUUCUUUUUUUUUUUAUUUUACUUAGGAGCACUCAAGAAGUAACCACAGGAAAUUUGAGCUUAAACAAGUGAAAGUCGUGGCCUGUGGAAAUUUUUGAAGAUUGCGAAAAAUAUAAAAAAACUUUAGGAGGUGAAAACUCAAUCUUCAGGGGCGAAUUUGGGGAUUCUAAAAUCAUCGAACCCGCCUCUAGCAGAGAUACAUAGAUCCAAAAAUUUGUUCUGAUCGAUUUUGAUAUAUGGAACGUCAAAAUCGGAGUUCGUAUGCGAAAGUUAUGGCUGUUUUACGAACGGACUCCGAAUUAGAGGACAAAACGGUCCGGAAGUGGUAAAAAUGUGCGGUGGUGGCUAGAAAUUAAUGGAAACGGUGGGAUAAAACACACAAACUGGACUCUGACAACACCAAAUCAGUAACAAGACCUCGACCAGGACACAAACUCAACACUACGGACUCUAAAACUGAAAUAUGCAAAGGUUAUGGCGUAGAUGGGUUGUAGGACGUGAAAACAAUAUGGCACUUGACUUAUGGGACGAACACAAGGACACUCGAAACUAAGGGUAGAUGUGAACCUAACGGUACGUCUGAAGCUUUGAUUACCACUUGUGGAGAACAAGGCCCGAUCUUCUGAAAGGUUCUGGUAACUAUCGAUUUGGUGGAAACGAGACACAAAUCAAUCCAGUUUGCGAACAACACAAUUCGAAACCCUGCAAUUCUUUUUAUUUUUUUUGAUAUUUUUCUUUUACUUAGGAGCACACAAGAAGUAAGCACAGGAAAUUUGAGCUUAAACAAGUGAAGGACGUGGCCUGUGGAAUUUUUUGAAGAUUGCGAAAACUAUGAAAAUAAAGUUUAGGAGGUGAAAACUCAAAUUUUCAGAGGCGAGUUUGGGGAUUCUAAAUUUGUCGCACCCGCCUAUGGCGGGGAUAGACAGAUCCAAAAAUUUUUCUGAUUGAUUUUGAUACAUGGAACGUCAAAAUUGGAGUUCGUAGGCGAAAGUUAUCGCUGUUUUACGAACGGACUCUGAAUUAGAGGACAAAACGGUCCGGAAGUGGGAAAAAUUUGCGGUGGUGGCUAGAAAUUGAUGGAAGCGGUGGGAAAAAACACACAAACUUGACUCAAACAAGACCUAAUCAGUAACAAGACCUCGACCAGGACACAAACUCAAAACUACGGAUUCUGAAACUGAAAUAUGCAAAGGCUAUGGCGCGGAUGGGUUGUAGGACAUGAAAACAAUAUGACACUAGACUUAUGAGACGAAUACAAGAACACUCGAAACUAAGGGUAGAUGUGAACCUAAUGGUAUGUCUGGUGCUUUGAUUACCACUUGAGGAGAACAAGUGUGGCCCGAUCUUCCGAAAGGUUCUGGUAACUAUCGAUUUGGUGGAAACGAGACACAAAUCAAUCCAGCUUACGAACAACACGAUUCGAAACCCUGCAAUUAUUCUUUUUUAAUAUUUUUCUUUUACUUAGAAGCACUCAAGAAGUAAGCACAGGAAAUUUGAGCUUAAACAAGUGAAAAACGUGACCUGUGGAAACUUUUGAAAAUUGCGAAAAAUAUGAAAAAAAUAUUUGGAGGUGAAAACUCAAACUUUAGAGGCGAAUUUGGGAAUUCUAAAAUUGUCAAACCCGCAUACGGUGGGGAUAGACAGAUCCAAAAAUUUGGUUUGAUCGAUUUUGAUAUAUGGAACAUCAAAAUCGGAGUUCGUAUGCGAAAAUUAUGGCUGUUUUACGAACGGACACCGAAUUAGAGGACAAAACAGUCUGGUACUGGGAAAAAUUGGCGCGGUGGCUAUAAAUUGAUGGAAACGGUGGGAAGAAACACACAAAUUGGACUCUAACAAGACCUAACCAGUAACAAGACCUCGACCAGGACACAAACUCAACACUACGGACUCUGAAACUGAAAUAUGCAAAGGCUAUCGCGCGGAUGGGUUGUAGGACAUGAAAACAAUAUAGCACUAGACUUAUGGGACGAACACAAGGACACUCGAAACUAAGGAUAGAUGUGAACCUAACGUUACAUGUGAAGCUUUGAUUAACACUUGAGGAGAACAAGUGUGGCCCGAUCUUCCAAAAGGUUCUAGUAACUACCAAUUUGGUGGAAACAAGACCCAAAUCAAUCUACCUUGCGAACAACGCGGUUCAAAACCCUGCAAUUAUUUUUACUUUUAUUAUGAUAUUUUUAUUUUACUUAGGAGCACUCAAGAAGUAACCACAGGAAAUUUGAGCUUAAACAAGUGAAAGACGUGGCCUGUGGAAAUUUUUGAAGAUUGCAAAAAAUAUAAAAAAAACAUUAGGAGCUGAAAACUCAAAAUUCAAGGGCAAAUUUGGGGUUUCUAAAUUUAUCGAACCCGCCUCUAGCGGAGAUAGACAGAUCCAAAAAUUUGUUCUGAUCGAUUUUGAUAUAUGAAACGUCAAAAUUGGAGUUCGUAUGCGAAAGUUAUGGCUAUUUUACGAGCGGACUUCGAAUUAGAGGACAAAACGGUCCGGAAGUGGGAAAAAUUUGCGGUGGUGGCUAGAAAUUGAUGGAAACUGUGGGAACAAACACACAAACUGGACUCUAACAAGACCUAACCAGUAACAAGAUCUCGACCAGGACACAAACUCAAAACUACGGGUUCUGAAACUGAAAUAUGCAAAGGCUAUGGCGCGGAUGGGUUGUAGGACAUGAAAACAAUAUGGCACUGGACUUAUGAGACGAACACAAGGACACUCAAAACUAAGGGUAGAUGUGAACCUAACGGUAUGUCUGAUGCUUUGAUUACCACUUGAGGAGAACAAGUGUGGCCCGAUCUUCCGAAUGGUUCUGGUAACUAUCGAUUUGGUGGAAACGAGACACAAAUCAAACCAGUUUGCGAACAACACGAUUCGAAACCCUGCAGUUCUUUUUAUUUUUUUUGAUAUUUUUCUUUUACUUAGGAGCACUCAAGAAGUAACCACAGGAAAUUUGAGCUUAAACAAGUGAAGGACGUGGCCUGUGGAAUUUUUUGAAGAUUGCGAAAAAUAUGAAAAUAAAGUUUAGGAGGUGAAAACUCAAAUUGUCAGAGGUGAGUUUGGGAAUUCUAAAUUUGUCGCACCCGCCUAUGGCGGGGAUAGACAGAUCCAAAAAUUUUUCUGAUCGAUUUUGAUAUAUGGAACGUCAAAAUCGGAGUUCGUAGGCGAAAGUUAUCGCUGUUUUACGAACGGACUCUGAAUUAGAGGACAAAACGGUCCGGAAGUGGGAAAAAUUUGCGGUGGUGGCUAGAAAUUGAUGGAAGCGAUGGGAAAAAACACACAAACUUGACUCAAACAAGACCUAAUCAGUAACAAGACCUCGACCAGGACACAAACUCAAAACUACGGAUUCUGAAACUGAAAUAUGCAAAGGCUAUGGCGCGGAUGGGUUGUAGGACAUGAAAACAAUAUGGCACUGGACUUAUGAGACGAACACAAGAACACUCGAAACUAAGGGUAGAUGUGAACCUAAUGGUAUGUCUGGUGCUUUGAUUACCACUUGAGGAGAACAAGUGUGGCCCGAUCUUCCGAAAGGUUCUGGUAACUAUCGAUUUGGUGGAAACGAGACAAAAAUCAAUUCAGCUUACGAACAACACGAUUCGAAACCCUACAAUUCUUUUUAUUUUUAUUUUGAUAUUUUUCUUUUACUUAGGAGCACUCAAGAAGUAAGCACAGUGUUGACGGUCCUUAAGUACUAAAAUUAAUAAUCAAAUAAACAUGGAAAAGGAUCAAUAUGAAACAAAUAUCUAGAAUUAGGGUUUUAUCUGACAGAAUUCCACGAGCUUUGGUGUUUAUCUAUUUCUGCAGGGGGUUAUCAGAGAAUAUGGAGAGAAGGCCCACAUGUCAUGUUUACAACGAGAUAAUUACGUGCCGCGCAAUUUUCCUCAAUCUAGAAGAGUCCAGAAGCCACGGGAACGAACGAGAGCACGAUCGGGCUCGGGGUCAGGGCGGCCGCCCACCCCCCUUGGGUGCCCGCCCAGGUUUGGAACCCAAUAGGGACUCUGCUUCGGGACUACGCUCCACCGACCUAAAGGAUCAAUCUAAACCAUACAAUCAAUGUCGGUUUGAUCUGACGGCCCAAAUUCACUUGAAGGGACUAUAAAACCAAGGCCUACCCCCCUAGAGAGGAGAAGAGAAGAAAUCAUUAUUCAGAGGUAGCCAUCAAAGUUAGGGUUUAGAGCUUCUCUCCCAUAGAGAAUUAGAAUUAGCUACUCCCUAAUCCUUCAAGUUUAGAGGUUUGAUUAGAUAGCAAUUAGAGAAGUAGAGCACUACGCUCUGGAUUCGAUCUUCGGUAAUAAAGAUUGGUAUUAUUCAUAUCUUUCUCUAAUUCUUUGUUCUAAUUGCAUUACGUCUCUAAUUAUUAUGUUCUUAGUUUGCUCUAGUUCUAUAUUUGAUAUGGUUCUAAUUGAUAAUGAGUUUAUGUAUAAGUUUGCAAUGCGCUUAGCUCUUGAUGCGAGGGAGUUAGGUGAUAGAUCACAUGUGAGCGUGGUGCUUAGAUGUUAUUUAUCUGCAAAUGUAUCCUAUUGGCCGGGUCGUGUGGUAGUUCGCGAUAGUGACAGCUUCGUUGAUUCUUAUAUAGUCCACCCUCCGUUGAUAGGACAGGCAGAACCGGUAUUGUGGAGUAAGUCAUGCGACGCUCUGAUUUACUUUAUCAAUGUUCCUUAUACAUGAAUGAAGAGUCUUUUAUGCUAUAUAUGAUCUUGUAGAUAACUAGAGUAGAUUAUGACUUAGUAGUUAGUAGAUAACUUAGAAUCCAUUCUCUAGCUAAUCCGACAUCACCUACAUAUAUGAGGAGUAGUCUAUUUUCUAAUCGCUGUGUUAUCUACCCAUGAACUUAUAAUUCAUUAUCAUUAUCUUUAUGGUUUACCCCCUGCUAAAGUAAGUGAGUGUGUGACGAGUUUCUCAUUAGUAAUCAUGUUCUUGCAAGUUUAUCUCUAGUCUAUGCCUUGAUAGAUUUUGCCCCUUACUUUAAUUUCAUCCCUUGAGCAAAAUUAUAAAUAACGAUACCUGGAAUACUUAUCCUGGUGAAAUGCUACAAUGAGGUGUUUUAUCUGUACGCUUGCGGAUAGAAUAGAUUAUUUUCUAGAGAGCCUUUACAUUUAUAAAUACCUUUUGUACACUCCAGCACCAUGCUGGGGAUGACAACCUAGUAUCUAAGUGGUGUUAGCUAGUGUCAACAAGCAUUUCUGGCGCCGUUGCCGGGGAGUCUCAUGAAUAAGUCAUAAAGGUGUACAAAAGGGUAAUACUUAGGAAAGCUAGAAAAUCAGUCAAGGUUAUUCAUAUAAAAUAUUAGACUAGACUAUAGAGAAAUAAUUGCAUAAAAACAGCUACUAAGUGAGAGAUCAUAACAAGGCACCUCAGCUUUGGCAGGUUCACCCUGUUGUUUUUUUAUGUUUAUAUUUUUAUACAGGGUAUAUCAGGAUUGACUUUGGGUACAUUCAACUCUUCAUCAUCAGAACCAAAGCAAUCAAGAGAAGAAGAAGAUAGCUAUGAAUUGCUGAAGCUAUGGCACAAAAGACCUUGCAAGAAUUCUCUGCUCCAAGUCUUGAGAACAUUCCAACUGGUCCAAGAAUUGCAGUAGAAGAAGGAGUACCCGAGUUUGAGCUCAAGUCAAGCCUCAUCAAUUUGGUACAAGCUACACAAUUCAGUGGAAAGGCACAUAAAGAUGCUAGUGCACACUUGCAGAAUUUCUUAGAGAUUGGAAGCACAAUCCACAUCAACGGAGUUGACAAAGACGUCAUACUGCUUCGCCUUUUUCCAUUCUCACUAGAAGGAAAAGCGAGGAAGUGGUUCUACACUCAUCAAGAUAACAUCAACAACUGGACGAACUUGUCAGAUGCCUUUCUAUCAAAGUUUUUCCCUAUAGGCAAAACAACUGCCUUAAGAGGAAAUAUUGUCAGUUUCCAAUAGCAGAAGACAGAAGCCAUUUCAGAAGCAUGUGAGCGUUUUCAAAGAUACAUAUCAGAUUGUCCUCACCAUGGAAUGGCCACAUGGUUACUUAUGCAGACCUUCUACAAUGGAUUAACCCAGAAGGUUCGAGAGUGCCUAGAUGCAUCUGCUAAAGGAUCAUUCUUGGAGCUUACAACUGGAAAAGCAGAGAUAGUUUUGGAUAAGAUAGCAGAAAAUCAAAGCUGGUUCCAAGAUAAAGCUCAACAAUGUCAUCAAACUGAAGAAAUACCAGAAGAAGUAAAUGCAUUAUCAACUAAGAUGGAAACUUUGCUCCAUUGGAUUGACCAGAGGGCCAAGUUCAAAGAAGAUCAAAGUGCCAUGGAGACAGCAUACAAAUAUCAACCAACUUCGAGUCAACCCAAUAGCAAAGGUAUGAAUUUAGGUAAUACUUUCAAGCAACUUUCAUUAAAAGAGAUAAUUGCUCAACAAACCAAAAUUAAUGAUGAAGUUAAACAAAGGCUAGAUACAAAUGAAUCAUCUCUAAAAGAUAUACACAAUAAAAUGGAUUUUCUACUAACUGCCUUUGAUGAGCAAAACACUCUUAAUAAAAGGGUAGAGCUUAAAUUAAUAAAGAUAGCUGCUGCACUGCCUGUUGCUACUAACAUUGAGCAGGUAAAGAACAUAACUACUAGAGGAGGCAAAGCAACCAGAGAUCCCCCAUACCCAAAAGAGAAACAAAGAACGUCAGCACCAGUGCAACCAGCAGUGAUAGAAGAAGAAAGCCCAGUUGAAGCAGAAGAUCUGCUGCAACCACCAAGAAAUGGAGAAAUGAGGAAAGAUUUUUACGACACCAACUAUUUGCCAUUUCCUAGAAGAAAUAGAGGACUGCAGGCGGAUGAGCAGUUUGGUAAGUUUGUAGAGGUCAUUCAGAAAUUAUAUGUCAACGUACCUCUGCUCGAUGCCAUACAGGUACCUACAUAUGCAAAGUACAUCAGAGAUAUUCUUAACAAGAAGAGACCACUGCCCACCACUGAGGUUAUCAAGCUGACAGAAGAAUGUAGUGCGGCCAUCCUCAAUAAACCACCAAAGAAGAAGGAAGAUUCCAGAUGUGCCACUAUUGAUUGCUCGAUUGGAAAACAACACUUCAACAAUGCACUUUGUGAUCUCAGAGCAAGUGUCAGUGUGAUGCCAGCAUCAGUCUACAAAAAGCUUGAGCAUGCGACCCUAGAACCAACAUCAAUCUGCCUGCAACUAGCGGAUCAAUCGGUUCGACACCCGUUGGGCAUCGCCGAGAACAUUCCAGUCAAGAUCAGAGAUUUCCUGGUGCCAGUAGACUUCGUAGUACUGGACAUGAGUCCUGACUCAAAAGUGUCCAUCAUCCUUGAAAGGCCAUUUUUGAGCACUGUCAAUGCCCACAUUGAUGUCGGGAAGGGAGAAAUCAAGUUCAACAUAAACGGACAAGAAGAACACUUCACAUUCAAACCCAGACCAGAGAGAGACUCUACAGUGAAGGAAGUUCAUGAAGAAGCACUGGAGACACCAUCUCCGGAGGAAGGUAACUCAGAAGAUUAAAAGAUUUGGAGGUCCAGCUUGGGGGACCUAAAAAUCCCAAACCCUCACCGGGAGGUAAAUCGGUAUUUAUCCACAUUAUUAAUUUUCUCAUGUUUAAAUUCUUGCAUAAUUAAUUCUUGCAUUAGCAUAUAUAUUCAUAGAAUAAUUAUAAUAAUCAAAAAGCCCCCAUAUAAAUAAUAUUCAUGGAGUGUAACAACCCAUAUUUAUUAAUUAUUGUGGAGGCACAAAAAUAUUUUCCAUUAUCAUUAAGUUUCAAUUCUCAUAGAUUUUUUCUGCAUUAUAUUUAAUUAUAUUAAUCUUCUAGAAGCAUGACCCACACUCCUUGGGUCCCACAUGUCAUACACUUCACCUCACAUACAUCCCAUCACAUAAUUUCAUCCACCAAUAUGUUUCCACUUACCUGACAUCUUUCCACCGUCCAACCACCACCAACUCAAUAUUAUUCUGCGUGAGAUCAAAGCAAGGAAGCUAGUGGAGGAGGCACACCCAGGAUGGGCAUCACAAGUGGGCGCCCGCCCACCUACCAAGGGCGCCUGCCCUGCCCCUCUUCCUCCUAUAAAUAGCCACAUUCUACCUCCAUCUUCUUCACACAAACACUCCACAAAACCACACAAGUUUCCGUUUCCCGAGAAGGAGCUCUUGUAGUGAAGAGAAGAGAGUAGAGAGAAAGAGAAGAGUGGAAGAGAAGGUUGGGAGUACUUUUGAGAGAGUGAUUAUCACCUAGCAAGUAGUGAUCCCGUUGUCUAGCGGAAGUUGUUUAGGGAGGCUCUACCAAAAUAGAAAUUUGUUUUGAACAAAUAACCCCUGGACUACUGACAUUCCGGACAGCUGACCACUAACAUUUUCUCUCAUAUUUUCCACUAGUUGUGUUUUUGCCAACUUUUGUUUGCAGGAUGUUCAAGAAGGUGAAGAAUGCAGGGAAGGCUCUCAAGAACAUUGGUACAAGGAGUUCAGCCCGACACUCCUCACAGCCAUUAGAGAUGAGCGUUGACCCAACACCCACAUAAGCUCCGUCAUCUUCAUCAGGUCAGCAAGUCAAGGUCCUUCUCAAGAUAGAAGACCUUGGACUAAAGACCCGAAGAGAGAAAGAAGUCUAUCAACAAUUGAAAAACAAAGAUUUUAUUCACACCCCUACUCUUGAUCCAAUCUUACUACAAGAAACAGGUAUGGACACUGAAUUCGACUUAAUUUUCCAGAUGAUAGGUUGGAUAAAUUUUUGGAAUAUAACUGAGCUGGGUUCUCGUCUUCUCACCCUCGAAUUUCUUUGCACCUUACAAUAUUAUGAGGGGGAAAUUGUUUUUCGGAUGUUCAAACAGGAGAUUAUGUUGUCUUGGAGAAAGCUGAGCGACCAUCUUGGUUUCUCUUCAAGAUGCAUCCUGAACAUUGACUCCGAUUUACCUAAUUUUGAGAGACACCAGUUUUAGAGAGAAAUAUCUAGAGAUAAUUUUUAUAGUCAAGCCCGAACCAGCGAUAUGGAACACCCCACCCUUAGGAUGUUCCACAAAUGGCUUGGGUACAAUCUUUUCUAUCGUGAUGAUAUUAGGAAAGUAAGAGUAGGAGAUUUACAACUUUUAUAUGCUGCUAUUAGUAAAGUACCCACUUCACCUGUUACACUAUUUGGCUUAGUGUACCUAGUCUUCAGGGACCAGUAGGAUGUACUUCACUUAUCACUCGUCUAGCCUUUAAUCUUCACUUACUAGAAAACUCGUCAUUGGACUUCAUAUAUGAGUUAAGAAUUUAUCAUGGCUAUGACAUAUUUAGACAAGCUCGGAUGUUUAACAAAGAGGGGAAUGUAAUGUAUAUGCUCUAUGUUGAUAAAGGCAAGAUUCGGUUACCUAACCCGAACCUUGGCCUCUACGUUCUGCAAAACUUUUUGAUUGAGAUGGCAGCAACACUAGUGAACCAGAAAACUCCACAGCGAGUGGCAUCUGAAAGGAUGACCACUCACCGAGAACGCACCUGGUAUGGAGCUAACCCUGGACCAGAAGAAGCAGCGCACCUGCAUUAUUGCGAUUACAACCCCCGAGUCCUUCGAGACCCAUGGGUUCGUCAUGCGCAACCACAAGAGCCAACAGAGGAGACAUGGCCGGAGAGCCAAGAUCACCAGUGGACAAACCCGCCUUUUCAUACGGGCAGGUACUCCACUGAUCCAUAUGGAGCUUCAGGAUCUAGACCUCCGCCCCAAUUUGAUGCAGGACGAUACUCCGAUGCCUCCUACGCUUUCACGAAUGACUACUACCAAGAGGCCGGUGCUUUCUUCACUCGUACCGACAACACCCUCCUCGACAUCCAAAACACGCAAACAGAACAUGGAAGACUCCUGGAAGAACAACAAAAAUGGAACCAGGACCAUGCCGCUGCAGUACAAGAGCUGAGACAAGAUACAACAACAAUGAACGACAACAUCACAACCAUUAUGCGGUUCUGGAACAUCGGGUAAGACCGACGUCAACAUCCAGCUUGGGGGAGUUCCUCCCCAAUCUAUCAAGUAAGUUUUUAUUUGCUCUUCUUAUUUAUUCUAUUUUGUCUUAGUGUUUUAUUUAUCUUAUAAAGAAAAAAAAUAGAAAACCCAAUAAAUAUUUUCUUGCUUUAAUUUACUGCACUUUAUAAACAUGAAAGCAAAAUAAAAAGAGUGUGUAGAUAAGUGUGCUUUAUUUUCCUGCGAAGUUUAAUCUCUAGAAAAAAUAAAAAGACCAAAAAGAUGCAUGAUGGAAAUGAUGAACAGUUGCUCUGUUUGCUUACUUUCAAGUACCUAGCUUUUAUAUUAGAGUUCUUCCAGGAAUUACUAAAACAAAAAUUACUAUCUUUGGGAAGCAUAAAACUAAAGUCUAGGUAAGAGAAAGGCAUAAUACAAAGUUUGAGCUGCUGUUUAUCUUGUUUCUACUACACUGAGUUCUAGAGAUUUAUUUUGGAAACUUGCAAAUCACAUGAUGAGUUCCUAGCAUAAGAAAACUACCUACCACAGCCAUACUUGCUAUAACAUCUUUUACUAUAUUUACAUUGAGUUUGAUCGAGCUGUGUAGACCCUUAGGAGCUUUUCAUGUGGUUAAAUUAAGAUAUUCACUUGCACACAUCUACUACACUAUCCAUCACUAUUCAUUAAAAUUGCUAAAAAUAUUAUCACUCACUGUCCCGAAUAUUGUUAUUCUCUCUCUCUAAAAAGAUUCAAUGCAGAAGAGGCAUGGGUUAUGCAAAAAUAUGCGAGGAAAUAAAAAGGGGCAAGUGCCCGGAACCUCGAUAAAAGAAAAAGAGUAAGACGAGAGGUAAAAAUGGACAAGUGUCCGAAGUAGAAUUAGGGGUACAAAGAUGCCCACUUGAGCGGAAAAAAAUGGACAAGUGUCCGACAGUAGAAUUAGGGGUAUCUACUACCCACCUGAAAAAAAAAGAGAGAAGAAAAAGAUAGCCCAUGUUCUCCCAAAGCAAAGAUCAAAGAAGAGAAGAGAUAGCAAUAUGAGGAGUAAUGAAAAGUAAGUUUUAUUAUCACUUAUAUAUCUUCACCAUCACUAUCAUUGAUUCCAUCACACAUGCACAUCUUGAUUUAAUUAUAUGCUGAGUUCCUUUGGAUCCAUAGCUCGAUUAGACAACAUAUGUAUGAGCUGUUCUUCACCCCUAUGAGCUCCACUUAAAUAUUUCAUUAGCUAUAGGUAAGUGAUAUUAUGGUAAGGAUCCACAAAUACCACAUAUAGAGAGACUUGAGAGAAUCAUUGCUAGGAACUCUGAGUUUUAUUUUGAAAACUUAUGAAAAACUCUGGAACAAAGGUGAAGUAUAGACAGGAGGGAUAGUGCUUGACUUAACUAUUUUGUCUUUCGAUUACUUAAGAUUUAAGUGCAGACACUAAGCUCCAUAACACUUCACUCUAAUCUGGAAGAAUUUUUAUGUAAAAGCAUGUGUGCCUGUCAGGAAAGAAAACAUCGAAGCAACUUCUGAUUUGUCUAAGUUUAGCUAUUUGCUCAGGGACGAGCAAAGGGUAAGCUUGGGGGAGUUUGUUGACGGUCCUUAAGUACUAAAAUUAAUAAUCAAAUAAACAUGGAAAAGGAUCAAUAUGAAACAAACAUCUAGAACUAGGGUUUUAUCUGACAGAAUUCCACGAGCUUUGGUGUUUAUCUAUUUCUGCAGGGGGUUAUCAGAGAAUAUGGAGAGAAGGCCCACAUGUCAUGUUUACAACGAGAUAAUUAUGUGCCGCGCAAUUUUCCUCAAUCUAGAAGAGUCCAGAAGCCACAGGAACGAACGAGAGCACGAUCAGGCUCGGGGGCAGGGCGGCCGCCAACCCCCCUUGGGCGCCCGCCCAGGGUUGGAACCCAAUCGGGACUCUGCUUCGGGACUACGCUCCACCGACCUAAAGGAUCAAUCUAAACCAUACAAUCAAUGUCGGUUUGAUCUGACGGCCCAAAUUCACUUGAAGGGACUAUAAAACCAAGGCCUACCCCCCUAGAGAGGAGAAGAGAAGAAAUCAUUAUUCAGAGGUAGCCAUCAAAGUUAGGGUUUAGAGCUUCUCUCCCACAGAGAAUUAGAAUUAGCUACUCCCUAAUCCUUCAAGUUUAGAGGUUUGAUUAGAUAGCAAUUAGAGAAGUAGAGCACUACGCUGUGGAUUCGGAUCUUCGGUAAUAAAGAUUGGUAUUAUUCAUAUCUUUCUCUAAUUCUUUGUUCUAAUUGUAUUAUGUCUCUAAUUAUUAUGUUCUUAGUUUGCUCUAGUUCUAUAUUUGAUAUAGUUCUAAUUGAUAAUGAGUUUAUGUAUAAGUUUGCAAAGCGCUUAGCUCUUGACGCGAGGGAGUUAGGUGAUAGAUCACAUGUGAGCGUGGUGCUUAGAUGUUAUUUAUCAGCAAAUGUAUCCUAUUGGCCGGGUCGUGUGGUAGUUCGCGAUAGUGAUUUACUUUAUCAAUGUUCCUUAUACAUGAAUGAAGAGUCUUUUAUGCUAUAUAUGAUCUUGUAGAUAACUAGAGUAGAUUAUGACUUAGUAGUUAGUAGAUAACUUAGAAUCCAUUCUCUAGCUAAUCCGACAUCACCUACAUAUAUGAGGAGUAGUCUAUUUUCUAAUCGCUGUGUUAUCUACCCACGAACUUAUAAUUCAUUAUCAUUAUCUUUAUGGUUUACCCCCUGCUAAAGUAAGUUUCUCAUUAGUAAUCAUGUUCUUGCAAGUUUAUCUCUAGUCUAUGCCUUGAUAGAUUUUGCCCCUUACUUUAAUUUCAUCCCUUGAGCAAAAUUAUAAAUAACGAUACCUGGAAUACUUAUCCUGGUGAAAUGCUAUAAUGAGGUGUUUUAUCUGUGCGCUUGCGGAUAGAAUAGAUUAUUUUCUAGAGAGCCUUUACAUUUAUAAAUACCUUUUGUACACUCUGGCACCAUGCUGGGGAUGACAACCUAGUAUCUAAGUGGUGUUAGCUAGUGUCAACACACAGGAAAUUUGAGCUUAAACAAGUGAAAGACGUGACAUGUGGAAACUUUUGAAAAUUGCGAAAAAUAUGAAAAAAACUUUUGGAGGUGAAAACUCAAACUUUAGAGGUGAAUUUGGGGACUCUAAAAUUGUCAAACCCGCACACGGCAGGGAUAGACAGAUAUAAAAAAUUGGUUUGAUAGAUUUUGAUAUAUGGAACGUCAAAAUCGGAGUUCGUAUGCGAAAAUUGUGGUUGUUUUACGAACGGACACCGAAUUAGAGGACAAAACAGUCCGGAAGUGGGAAAAAUUUGCGCAGUGGCUAUAAAUUGAUGGAAACGGUGGGAAGAAACACACAAACUGGACUCUAACAAGACCUAACCAGUAACAAGAUCUCGACCAGGACACAAACUCAAUACUACGGACUCUGAAACUGAAAUAUGCAAAGGUUAUGGCGCGGAUGGGUUGUAGGAUAUGAAAACAAUUUGGCACUAGACUUAUGGGACGAACACAAGGACACUCGAAACUAAGGAUAGAUGUGAACCUAACGGUAUGUCUGAAGCUCUGAUUAACACUUGAGGAGAACAAGUGUGGCCCGAUCUUCCGAAAGGUUCUAGUAACUAUCAAUUUGGUGGAAACGAGACCCAAAUCAAUCCACCUUGCGAACAACGUGGUUCGUAUCCCUGCAAUUCUUUUUAUUUUUUUUGAUAUGUUUCUUUUACUUAGGAGCACUCAAGAAGUAACCACAGGAAAUUUGAGCUUAAACAAGUGAAAGACGUGGCCUGUGGAAUUUUUUGAAGAUUGCGAAAAAUAUAAAAAAAACUUUAGGAGGUGAAAACUCAAACUUUAGGGGCGAAUUUGGGGAUUCUAAAAUUAUCGAACCCGCCUCCAGCGGAGAUAGACAGAUCCAAAAAUUUGUUCUCAUCGAUUUUGAUAUAUGGAACAUCAAAAUCGGAGUUCGUAUGCGAAAGUUAUGGCUGUUUUACGAACGGACUCCGAAUUAGAGGAAAAAACGGUCCGGAAGUGGAAAAAAUUUGCGGUGGUGGCUAGAAAUUGAUGGAAACGGUCGGAAAAACACACAAACUGUACUCUAAUAAGACCAAAUCAGUAACAAGACCUCGACCAGAACAUAAACUCAACACUACGGAGAACAAGUGUGAACCUAACGAUACGUCUGAAGCUCUGAUUAACACUUGAGGAGAACAAGGCCCGAUCUUCCGAAAAGUUCUGGUAACUAUCAAUUUGGUGGAAACGAGACACAAAUCAAACCAGUUUGCAAACAACACGAUUCGAAACCCUGCAAUUCUUUUUUUUUGAUAUUUUUCUAUUACUUAGGAGCACUCAAGAAGUAACCACAGGAAAUUUGAGCUUAAACAAGUGAAGGACGUGGCCUGUGGAAUUUUUUGAAGAUUGCGAAAAAUAUGAAAAUAAAGUUUAGGAGGUGAAAACUCAAAUUUUCAGAGGUGGGUUGGGAAUUCUAAAUUUGUCGCACCCGCCUAUGGCGGGGAUAGACAGAUCCAAAAAUUUUUCUGAUUGAUUUUGAUAUAUGGAACGUCAAAAUUGGAGUUCGUAGGCGAAAGUUAUCGCUGUUUUACGAACGGACUCUGAAUGAGAGGACAAAACGGUCCGGAAGUGGGAAAAAUUUGCGGUGGUGGCUAGAAAUUGAUGGAAGCGGUGGGAAAAAACACACAAACUUGACUCAAACAAGACCUAAUCAGUAACAAGACCUCGACCAGGACACAAACUCAACACUACGGACUCUGAAAAUGAAAUAUGCAAAGGCUAUGGCGCGGAUGGGUUGUAGGACAUGAAAAGAAUAUGGCACCAGACUUAUGGGACGAACACAAGGACACUCGAAACUAAGGGUAGAUGUGAACCUAACGGUAUGCCUGAAGCUUUGAUUACCACUUGAGGAGAAUAAGUGUGUCCCGAUCUUCCGAAAGGUUCUGGUAACUAUCGAUUUGGUGGAAACGAGACACAAAUCAAUCCAGCUUGCGAACAGCACGGUUCGAAACCCUACAAUUCUUUUUAUUUUUUUUGAUAUUUUUCUUUUACUUAGGAGCACUCAAGAAGUAACCAUAGGAAAUUUGAGCUUAAACAAUUGAAAGACGUGGCCUGUGGAAUUUUUUGAAGAUUGCGAAAAAUAUAAAAAAAAACUUUAAGAGGUGAAAACUCAAACUUUAGGAGUGAAUUUGGGGAUUCUAAAAUUAUCGAACCCGCCUCUAGCGGAGAUAGACAGAUCCAAAAAUUUGUUCUGAUCGAUUUUGAUAUAUGGAACGUCAAAAUCGGAGUUCAUAUGCGAAAGAUAUGGCUGUUUUACGAACGGACUCCGAAUUAGAGGACAAAACGGUCCGGAAGUGGGAAAAAUUUGCGGUGGUGGCUAGAAAUUGAUGGAAACGGUGGGAAAAAACACACAAACUGGACUCUAACAAGACCAAAUUGGUAACAAGACCUCGACCACGACACAAACUCAACACUACGGACUCUGAAACUGAAAUAUGCAAAGGUUAUGGCGCGGAUGGGUUGUAGGACAUGAAAACAAUUUGGCACUAGACUUAUGGGACGAACACAAGGACACUCGAAACUAAGGGUACAUGUGAACCUAACUAUACGUCUGAAGCUUUGAUUACCACUUGAGGAGAACAAGGCCCGAUCUUCCGAAAGGUUCUGGUAACUAUCAAUUUGGUGGAAACGAGACACAAAUCAUUCCAGUUUGCGAACAACACGAUUCGAAACCCUGCAAUUCUUUUUAUAUUUUUUGAUAUUUUUCUUUUACUUAGGAGCACUCAAGAAGUAACCACAGGAAAUUUGAGCUUAAACAAGUGAAGGACGUGACCUGUGGAAUUUUUUGAAGAUUGCGAAAAAUAUGAAAAUAAAGUUUAGGAGGUGAAAACUCAAAAUUUCAGAGGCGAGUUUGGGAAUUGUAAAUUUGUUCCACCGCCUUUGGCGGGGAUAGACAGAUCCAAAAAUUUUUCUGAUUGAUUUUGAUAUAUGGAACGUCAAAAUUGGAGUUCGUAGGCGAAAGUUAUCGCUGUUUUACGAACGGACUCUGAAUGAGAGGACAAAACGGUCCGGAAGUGGGAAAAAUUUGCGGUGGUGGCUAGAAAUUGAUGGAAGCGGUGGGAAAAAACACACAAACUUGACUCAAACAAGACCUAAUCAGUAACAAGACCUCGACCAGGACACAAACUCAACACUACGGACUCUGAAAAUGAAAUAUGCAAAGGCUAUGGCGCGGAUGGGUUGUAGGACAUGAAAAGAAUAUGGCACCAGACUUAUGGGACGAACACAAGGACACUCGAAACUAAGGGUAGAUGUGAACCUAACGGUAUGUCUGAAGCUUUGAUUACCACUUGAGGAGAAUAAGUGUGUCCCGAUCUUCCGAAAGGUUCUGGUAACUAUCGAUUUGGUGGAAACGAGACACAAAUCAAUCCAGCUUGCGAACAGCACGGUUCGAAACCCUGCAAUUCUUUUUAUUUUGUUUGAUAUUUUUCUUUUACUUAGGAGCACUCAAGAAGUAACCAUAGGAAAUUUGAGCUUAAACAAUUGAAAGACGUGGCCUGUGGAAUUUUUUGAAGAUUGCGAAAAAUAUAAAAAAAAACUUUAAGAGGUGAAAACUCAAACUUUAGGAGUGAAUUUGGGGAUUCUAAAAUUAUGGAACCCGCCUUUAGCGGAGAUAGACAUAUCCAAAAAUUUGUUCUGAUCGAUUUUGAUAUAUGGAACGUCAAAAUCGGAGUUCAUAUGCGAAAGUUAUGGCUGUUUUACGAACGGACUCCGAAUUAGAGGACAAAACGGUCCGGAAUUCGGAAAAAAUUUGCGGUGGUGGCUAGAAAUUGAUCGAAACGGUGGGAAAAAACACACAAACUGGACUCUAACAAGACCAAAUUGGUAACAAGACCUCGACCACGACACAAACUCAACACUACGGACUCUGAAACUGAAAUAUGCAAAGGUUAUGGCGCGGAUGGGUUGUAGGACAUGAAAACAAUUUGGCACUAGACUUAUGGGACGAACACAAGGACACUCAAAACUAAGGGUACAUGUGAACCUAACUAUACGUCUGAAGCUUUGAUUACCACUUGAGGAGAACAAGGCCCGAUCUUCCGAAAGGUUCUGGUAACUAUCAAUUUGGUGGAAACGAGACACAAAUCAUUCCAGUUUGCGAACAACACGAUUCGAAACCCUGCAAUUCUUUUUAUAUUUUUUGAUAUUUUUCUUUUACUUAGGAGCACUCAAGAAGUAACCACAGGAAAUUUGAGCUUAAACAAGUGAAGGACGUGACCUGUGGAAUUUUUUGAAGAUUGCGAAAAAUAUGAAAAUAAAGUUUAGGAGGUGAAAACUCAAAAUUUCAGAGGCGAGUUUGGGAAUUGUAAAUUUGUUCCACCGCCUAUGGCGGGGAUAGACAGAUCCAAAAAUUUUUCUGAUUGAUUUUGAUAUAUGGAACGUCAAAAUUGGAGUUCGUAGGCGAAAGUUAUCGCUGUUUUACGAACGGACUCUGAAUGAGAGGACAAAACGGUCCGGAAGUGGGAAAAAUUUGCGGUGGUGGCUAGAAAUUGAUGGAAGCGGUGGGAAAAAACACACAAACUUGACUCAAACAAGACCUAAUCAGUAACAAGAUCUCGACCAGGACACAAACUCAACACUACGGACUCUGAAAAUGAAAUAUGCAAAGGCUAUGGCGCGGAUGGGUUGUAGGACAUGAAAAGAAUAUGGCACCAGACUUAUGGGACGAACACAAGGACACUCGAAACUAAGGGUAGAUGUGAACCUAACGGUAUGCCUGAAGCUUUGAUUACCACUUGAGGAGAAUAAGUGUGUCCCGAUCUUCCGAAAGGUUCUGGUAACUAUCGAUUUGGUGGAAACGAGACACAAAUCAAUCCAGCUUGCGAACAGCACGGUUCGAAACCCUGCAAUUCUUUUUAUUUUGUUUGAUAUUUUUCUUUUACUUAGGAGCACUCAAGAAGUAACCAUAGGAAAUUUGAGCUUAAACAAUUGAAAGACGUGGCCUGUGGAAUUUUUUGAAGAUUGCGAAAAAUAUAAAAAAAACUUUAAGAGGUGAAAACUCAAACUUUAGGAGUGAAUUUGGGGAUUCUAAAAUUAUCGAACCCGCCUUUAGCGGAGAUAGACAUAUCCAAAAAUUUGUUCUGAUCGAUUUUGAUAUAUGGAACGUCAAAAUCGGAGUUCAUAUGCGAAAGUUAUGGCUGUUUUACGAACGGACUCCGAAUUAGAGGACAAAACGGUCCGGAAGUCGGAAAAAUUUGCGGUGCUGGCUAGAAAUUGAUGGAAACGGUGGGAAAAAACACACAAACUGGACUCUAACAAGACCAAAUUGGUAACAAGACCUCGACCACGACACAAACUCAACACUACGGACUCUGAAACAGAAAUAUGCAAAGGUUAUGGCGCGGAUGGGUUGUAGGACAUGAAAACAAUUUGGCACUAGACUUAUGGGACGAACACAAGGACACUCGAAACUAAGGGUACAUGUGAACCUAACUAUACGUCUGAAGCUUUGAUUACCACUUGAGGAGAACAAGGCCCGAUCUUCCGAAAGGUUCUGGUAACUAUCAAUUUGGUGGAAACGAGACACAAAUCAUUCCAGUUUGCGAACAACAUGAUUCGAAACCCUGCAAUUCUUUUUAUAUUUUUUGAUAUUUUUCUUUUACUUAGGAGCACUCAAGAAGUAACCACAGGAAAUUUGAGCUUAAACAAGUGAAGGACGUGACCUGUGGAAUUUUUUGAAGAUUGCGAAAAAUAUGAAAAUAAAGUUUAGGAGGUGAAAACUUAAAAUUUCAGAGGCGAGUUUGGGAAUUGUAAAUUUGUUGCACCGCCUAUGGCGGGGAUAGACAGAUCUAAAAAAAUUUUCUGAUCGAUUUUGAAAUAUGGAACGUCAAAAUCAGAGUUCGUAGGCGAAAGUUAUGGCUGUUUUACGAACGGACUCCGAAUUAGAGGAUAAAACGGUCCGGAAGUGGAAAAAAUUUGCGGUGGUGGCUAGAAAUUAAUGGAAACGGUGGGAAAAACACACAAACUAGACUCUAACAAGACCUAACCAGUAACAAGAUCUCGACCAGGACACAAACUCAACACUACGGACUCUGAAAAUGAAAUAUGCAAAGGCUAUGGCGCGGAUGGGUUGUAGGACAUGAAAAGAAUAUGGCACCAGACUUAUGGGACGAACACAAGGACACUCGAAACUAAAGGUAGAUGUGAACCUAACGGUAUGUCUGAAGCUUUGAUUACCACUUGAGGAGAAUAAGUGUGUCCCGAUCUUCCGAAAGGUUCUGGUAACUAUCGAUUUGGUGGAAACGAGACACAAAUCAAUCCAGCUUGCGAACAGCACGGUUUGAAACCCUGCAAUUCUUUUUAUUUUUUUUUGAUAUUUUUUUUACUUAGGAGCACUCAAGAAGUAACCAUAGGAAAUUUGAGCUUAAACAAUUGAAAGACGUGGCCUGUGGAAUUUUUUGAAGAUUGCGAAAAAUAUAAAAAAAACUUUAAGAGGUGAAAACUCAAACUUUAGGAGUGAAUUUGGGAUUCUAAAAUUAUCGAACCCACCUCUAGCGGAGAUAGACAGAUCCAUAAAUUUGUUCUGAUCGAUUUGGAUAUAUGGAACGUCAAAAUCGGAGUUCAUAUGCGAAAGAUAUGGCUGUUUUACGAACGGACUCCGAAUUAGAGGACAAAACGGUCCGGAAGUGGGAAAAAUUUGCGGUGGUGGCUAGAAAUUGAUGGAAACGGUGGAAAAAAACACACAAACUGGACUCUAACAAGACCAAAUCGGUAACAAGACCUCGACCACGACACAAACUCAACACUACGGACUCUGAAACUGAAAUAUGCAAAGGUUAUGGCGCGGAUGGGUUGUAGGACAUGAAAACAAUUUGGCACUAGACUUAUGGGACGAACACAAGGACACUCGAAACUAAGGGUACAUGUGAACCUAACUAUACGUCUGAAGCUUUGAUUACCACUUGAGGAGAACAAGGCCCGAUCUUCCGAAAGGUUCUGGUAACUAUCAAUUUGGUGGAAACGAGACACAAAUCAUUCCAGUUUGCGAACAACACGAUUCGAAAUCCUGCAAUUCUUUUUAUAUUUUUUGAUAUUUUUCUUUUACUUAGGAGCACUCAAGAAGUAACCACAGGAAAUUUGAGCUUAAACAAGUGAAGGACGUGACCUGUGGAAUUUUUUGAAGAUUGCGAAAAAUAUGAAAAUAAAGUUUAGGAGGUGAAAACUCAAAAUUUCAGAGGCGAGUUUGGGAAUUGUAAAUUUGUUGCACCGCCUAUGGCGGGGAUAGACAGAUCCAAAAAAUUUUUCUGAUCGAUUUUGAAAUAUGGAACGUCAAAAUCAGAGUUCGUAGGCGAAAGUUAUGGCUGUUUUACGAACGGACUCCGAAUUAGAGGAUAAAACGGUCCGGAAGUGGGAAAAAUUUGCGGUGGUGGCUAGAAAUUAAUGGAAAUGGUGGGAAAAACACACAAACUAGACUCUAACAAGACCUAACCAGUAACAAGAUCUCGACCAGGACACAAACUCAACACUACGGACUCUGAAAAUGAAAUAUGCAAAGGCUAUGGCGCGGAUGGGUUGUAGGACAUGAAAAGAAUAUGGCACCAGACUUAUGGGACGAACACAAGGACACUCAAAACUAAAGGUAGAUGUGAACCUAACGGUAUGUCUGAAGCUUUGAUUACCACUUGAGGAGAAUAAGUGUGUCCCGAUCUUCCGAAAGGUUCUGGUAACUAUCGAUUUGGUGGAAACGAGACACAAAUCAAUCCAGCUUGCGAACAGCACGGUUCGAAACCCUGCAAUUCUUUUUAUUUUUUUUUUGAUAUUUUUCUUUUACUUAGAAGCACUCAAGAAGUAACCAUAGGAAAUUUGAGCUUAAACAAUUGAAAGACGUGGCCUGUGGAAUUUUUUGAAGAUUGCGAAAAAUAUAAAAAAAACUUUAAGAGGUGAAAACUCAAACUUUAGGAGUGAAUUUGGGAUUCUAAAAUUAUCGAACCCACCUCUAGCGGAGAUAGACAGAUCCAUAAAUUUGUUCUGAUCGAUUUGGAUAUAUGGAAUGUCAAAAUCGGAGUUCAUAUGCGAAAGUUAUGGCUGUUUUACGAACGGACUCCGAAUUAGAGGACAAAACGGUCCGGAAGUGGGAAAAAUUUGCGGUGGUGGCUAGAAAUUGAUGGAAACGGUGGAAAAAAACACACAAACUGGACUCUAACAAGACCAAAUCGGUAACAAGACCUCGACCACGACACAAACUCAACACUACGGACUGUGAAACUGAAAUAUGCAAAGGUUAUGGCGCGGAUGGGUUGUAGGACAUGAAAACAAUUUGGCACUAGACUUAUGGGACGAACACAAGGACACUCGAAACUAAGGGUACAUGUGAACCUAACUAUACGUCUGAAGCUUUGAUUACCACUUGAGGAGAACAAGGCCCGAUCUUCCGAAAGGUUCUGGUAACUAUCAAUUUGGUGGAAACGAGACACAAAUCAUUCCAGUUUGCGAACAACAUGAUUCGAAACCCUGCAAUUCUUUUUAUAUUUUUUGAUAUUUUUCUUUUACUUAGGAGCACUCAAGAAGUAACCACAGGAAAUUUGAGCUUAAACAAGUGAAGGACGUGACCUGUGGAAUUUUUUGAAGAUUGCGAAAAAUAUGAAAAUAAAGUUUAGGAGGUGAAAACUCAAAAUUUCAGAGGCGAGUUUGGGAAUUGUAAAUUUGUUGCACCGCCUAUGGCGGGGAUAGACAGAUCCAAAAAAUUUUUCUGAUCGAUUUUGAAAUAUGGAACGUCAAAAUCAGAGUUCGUAGGCGAAAGUUAUGGCUGUUUUACGAACGGACUCCGAAUUAGAGGAUAAAACGGUCCGGAAGUGGGAAAAAUUUGCGGUGGUGGCUAGAAAUUAAUGGAAAUGGUGGGAAAAACACACAAACUAGACUCUAACAAGACCUAACCAGUAACAAGAUCUCGACCAGGACACAAACUCAACACUACGGACUCUGAAAAUGAAAUAUGCAAAGGCUAUGGCGCGGAUGGGUUGUAGGACAUGAAAAGAAUAUGGCACCAGACUUAUGGGACGAACACAAGGACACUCGAAACUAAAGGUAGAUGUGAACCUAACGGUAUGUCUGAAGCUUUGAUUAUCACUUGAGGAGAAUAAGUGUGUCCCGAUCUUCCGAAAGGUUCUGGUAACUAUCGAUUUGGUGGAAACGAGACACAAAUCAAUCCAGCUUGCGAACAGCACGGUUUGAAACCCUGCAAUUCUUUUUAUUUUUUUUUGAUAUUUUUUUUACUUAGGAGCACUCAAGAAGUAACCAUAGGAAAUUUGAGCUUAAACAAUUGAAAGACGUGGCCUGUGGAAUUUUUUGAAGAUUGCGAAAAAUAUAAAAAAAACUUUAAGAGGUGAAAACUCAAACUUUAGGAGUGAAUUUGGGAUUCUAAAAUUAUCGAACCCACCUCUAGCGGAGAUAGACAGAUCCAUAAAUUUGUUCUGAUCGAUUUGGAUAUAUGGAAUGUCAAAAUCGGAGUUCAUAUGCGAAAGUUAUGGCUGUUUUACGAACGGACUCCGAAUUAGAGGACAAAACGGUCCGGAAGUGGGAAAAAUUUGCGGUGGUGGCUAGAAAUUGAUGGAAACGGUGGGAAAAAACACACAAACUGGACUCUAACAAGACCAAAUCGGUAACAAGACCUCGACCACGACACAAACUCAACACUACGGACUCUGAAACUGAAAUAUGCAAAGGUUAUGGCGCGGAUGGGUUGUAGGACAUGAAAACAAUUUGGCACUAGACUUAUGGGACGAACACAAGGACACUCGAAACUAAGGGUACAUGUGAACCUAACUAUACGUCUGAAGCUUUGAUUACCACUUGAGGAGAACAAGGCCCGAUCUUCCGAAAGGUUCUGGUAACUAUCAAUUUGGUGGAAACGAGACACAAAUCAUUCCAGUUUGCGAACAACACGAUUCGAAACCCUGCAAUUCUUUUUAUAUUUUUUGAUAUUUUUCUUUUACUUAGGAGCACUCAAGAAGUAACCACAGGAAAUUUGAGCUUAAACAAGUGAAGGACGUGACCUGUGGAAUUUUUUGAAGAUUGCGAAAAAUAUGAAAAUAAAGUUUAGAGGUGAAAACUUAAAAUUUCAGAGGCGAGUUUGGGAAUUGUAAAUUUGUUGCACCGCCUAUGGCGGGGAUAGACAGAUCUAAAAAAUUUUUCUGAUCGAUUUUGAAAUAUGGAACGUCAAAAUCAGAGUUCGUAGGCGAAAGUUAUGGCUGUUUUACGAACGGACUCCGAAUUAGAGGAUAAAACGGUCCGGAAGUGGAAAAAAUUUGCGGUGGUGGCUAGAAAUUAAUGGAAACGGUGGGAAAAACACACAAACUAGACUCUAACAAGACCUAACCAGUAACAAGAUCUCGACCAGGACACAAACUCAACACUACGGACUCUGAAAAUGAAAUAUGCAAAGGCUAUGGCGCGGAUGGGUUGUAGGACAUGAAAAGAAUAUGGCACCAGACUUAUGGGACGAACACAAGGACACUCGAAACUAAAGGUAGAUGUGAACCUAACGGUAUGUCUGAAGCUUUGAUUACCACUUGAGGAGAAUAAGUGUGUCCCGAUCUUUCGAAAGGUUCUAGUAACUAUCGAUUUGGUGGAAACGAGACACAAAUCAAUCCAGCUUGCGAACAGCACGGUUCGAAACCCUGCAAUUCUUUUUAUUUUUUUUUUGAUAUUUUUCUUUUACUUAGGAGCACUCAAGAAGUAACCAUAGGAAAUUUGAGCUUAAACAAUUGAAAGACGUGGCCUGUGGAAUUUUUUGAAGAUUGCGAAAAAUAUAAAAAAAACUUUAAGAGGUGAAAACUCAAACUUUAGGAUUGAAUUUGGGGAUUCUAAAAUUAUCGAACCCACCUCUAGCGGAGAUAGACAGAUCCAAAAAUUUGUUCUGAUCGAUUUGGAUAUAUGGAAUGUCAAAAUCGGAGUUUAUAUGCGAAAGUUAUGGCUGUUUUACGAACGGACUCCGAAUUAGAGGACAAAACGGUCCGGAAGUGGGAAAAAUUUGCGGUGGUGGCUAGAAAUUGAUGGAAACGGUGGGAAAAAACACACAAACUGGACUCUAACAAGACCAAAUCGGUAACAAGACCUCGACCACGACACAAACUCAACACUACGGACUCUGAAACUGAAAUAUGCAAAGGUUAUGGCGCGGAUGGGUUGUAGGACAUGAAAACAAUUUGGCACUAAACUUAUGGGACGAACACAAGGACACUCGAAACUAAGGGUAUAUGUGAACCUAACUAUACGUCUGAAGAUUUGAUUACCACUUGAGGAGAACAAGGCCCGAUCUUCCGAAAGGUUCUGGUAACUAUCAAUUUGGUGGAAACGAAACACAAAUCAUUCCAGUUUGCGAACAACACGAUUCGAAACCCUGCAAUUCUUUUUAUAUUUUUUGAUAUUUUUCUUUUACUUAGGAGCACUCAAGAAGUAACCACAGGAAAUUUGAGCUUAAACAAGUGAAGGACGUGACCUGUGGAAUUUUUUGAAGAUUGCGAAAAAUAUGAAAAUAAAGUUUAGGAGGUGAAAACUCAAAUUUUCAGAGGCGAGUUUGGGAAUUGUAAAUUUGUUGCACCGCCUAUGGCGGGGAUAGACAGAUCUAAAAAAUUUUUCUGAUCGAUUUUGAAAUAUGGAACGUCAAAAUCAGAGUUCGUAGGCGAAAGUUAUGGCUGUUUUACGAACGGACUCCGAAUUAGAGGACAAAACGGUCCGGAAGUGGGAAAAAUUUGCGGUGGUGGCUAGAAAUUAAUGGAAAUGGUGGGAAAAACACACAAACUAGACUCUAACAAGACCUAACCAGUAAAAAGAUAUCGACCAGGACACAAACUCAACACUACGGAAUCUGAAAAUGAAAUAUGCAAAGGCUAUGGCGCGGAUGGGUUGUAGGACAUGAAAAGAAUAUGGCACCAGACUUAUGGGACGAACACAAGGACACUCGAAACUAAAGGUAGAUGUGAACCUAACGGUAUGUCUGAAGCUUUGAUUACCACUUGAGGAGAAUAAGUGUGUCCCGAUCUUCCUAAAGGUUCUGGUAACUAUCGAUUUGGUGGAAACGAGACACAAAUCAAUCCAACUUGCGAACAGCACGGUUCGAAACCCUGCAAUUCUUUUUAUUUUUUUUGAUAUUUUUCUUUUACUUAGGAGCACUCAAGAAGUAACCAUAGGAAAUUUGAGCUUAAACAAUUGAAAGACGUGGCCUGUGGAAUUUUUUGAAGAUUGCGAAAAAUAUAAAAAAAACUUUAAGAGGUGAAAACUCAAACUUUAGGAGUGAAUUUGGGGAUUCUAAAAUUAUCGAACCCACCUCUAGCGGAGAUAGACAGAUCCAAAAAUUUGUUCUGAUCGAUUUGGAUAUAUGGAAUGUCAAAAUCGGAGUUCAUAUGCGAAAGUUAUGGCUGUUUUACGAACAGACUCCGAAUUAGAGGACAAAACGGUCCGGAAGUGGGAAAAAUUUGCGGUGGUGGCUAGAAAUUGAUGGAAACGGUGGGAAAAAACACACAAACUGGACUCUAACAAGACCAAAUCGGUAACAAGACCUCGACCACGACACAAACUCAACACUACGGACUCUGAAACUGAAAUAUGCAAAGGUUAUGGCGCGGAUGGGUUGUAGGACAUGAAAACAAUUUGGCACUAGACUUAUGGGAUGAACACAAGGACACUCGAAACUAAGGGUACAUGUGAACCUAACUAUACGUCUGAAGCUUUGAUUACCACUUGAGGAGAACAAGGCCCGAUCUUCCGAAAGGUUACAAUUUGGUGGAAACGAAACACAAAUCAUUCCAGUUUGCGAACAACACGAUUCGAAACCCUGCAAUUCUUUUUAUAUUUUUUGAUAUUUUUCUUUUCCUUAGGAGCACUCAUGAAGUAACCACAGGAAAUUUGAGCUUAAACAAGUGAAGGACGUGAUCUGUGGAAUUUUUUAAAGAUUGCGAAAAAUAUGAAAAUAAAGUUUAGGAGGUGAAAACUCAAAAUUUUAGAGGCGAAUUUGGGGAUUCUAAAUUUGUCGAACCCGCCCAAGGCGGGGAUAGACAGACCCAAAAUUUUUUUCUAAUUGAUUUUGAUAUAUGCAAUGAUAAAAUCGGAGUUCGUAGGCGAAAGUUAUGGCUGUUUUACGAACGGACUCCGAAUUAGAGGACAAAACGGUCCGGAAGUGGGAAAAAUUUGCGGUGGUGGCUAGAAAUUGAUGGAAACGGUGGGAAAAAACACACAAACUGGACUCGAACAAGACCUAACCAGUAACAAGACCUCAACCAGGACACAAACUCAAAACUACGGAUUCUGAAACUGAAAUAUGCAAAGGCUAUGGCGCGGAUGGGUUGUAGGACAUGAAAACAAUAUUGCACUAGACUUAUGAGACGAACACAAGGACACUCGAAACUAAGGGUAGAUAUGAACCUAACGGUAUGUGUGAUGCUUUGAUUACCACUUGAGGAGAACAAGUCUGGCCCGAUCUUCCGAAAGGUUCUGGUAACUAUCGAUUUGGUGGAAACGACACACAAAUCAAUCCAGCUUGCGAACAACACGGUUCGAAACCCUGCAAUUCUUUUUUUUUUGAUAUUUUCUUUUACUUAGGAGCACUCAAGAAGUAACCAUAGGAAAUUUGAGCUUAAACAAGUGAAAGACGUGGCCUGUGGAAUUUUUUGAAGAUUGCGAAAAAUAUAAAAAAAACUUUAGGAGGUGAAAACUCAAAUUUUAGGGGCGAAUUUGGAGAUUAUAAAAUUAUCGAACCCGCCUCUAGCGGAGAUAGACAGAUCCAAAAAUUUGUUUUGAUCAAUUUUGAUAUAUGGAACGUCAAAAUUGGAGUUCGUAUGCGAAAGUUAUGACUGUUUUACGAACGGACUCCGAAUUAGAGGACAAAACGGUCCGGAAGUGAGAAAAAUUUGCGGUGGUGGCUAGAAAUUGAUGGAAACGGUGGGAAAAAAACAUAAACUGGACUCUAACAAGACCAAAUCAGUAACAAGACCUCGACCAGGACACAAACUCAACACUACGGACUCUGAAACUGAAAUAUGCAAAGGUUAUGACGCGGAUGGGUUGUAGGACAUGAAAACAAUUUGGCACUAGACUUAUGGGACGAACACAAGGACACUCGAAACUAAGGGUACAUGUGAACCUAACUGUACGUCUGAAGCUUUGGUUACCACUUGAGAACAAGGCCCGAUCUUCCGAAAGGUUCUGGUAACUAUCAAUUUGGUGGAAACGAGACACAAAUCAUUCCAAUUUGCGAACAACACGAUUCGAAACCCUGCAAUUCUUUUUAUAUUUUUUGAUAUUUUUCUUUUACUUAGGAGCACUCAAGAAGUAACCACAGGAAAUUUGAGCUUAAACAAGUGAAGUACGUGGGCUGUGGAAUUUUUUGAGGAUUGCGAAAAAUAUGAAAAUAAUGUUUAGGAGGUGAAAACUCAAAAAUUCAGAGGUGAGUUUGGGAAUUGUAAAUUUGUUGCACCGCCUAUGGCGGGGAUAGACAGAUCCAAAAAUUUUAUCUGAUUGAUUUUGAUAUAUGGAACGUCAAAAUCGGAGUUCAUAUGCGAAAGUUAUGGCUGUUUUACGAACGGACUCCGAAUUAGAGGACAAAACGGUCUGGAAGUGGGAAAAAUUUGCGGUGGUGGCUAGAAAUUGAUGGAAACGGUGGGAAAAAACACACAAACUGGACUCUAACAAGACCAAAUCGGUAUCAAGACCUCGACCACGACACAAACUCAACACUACGGACUCUGAAACUGAAAUAUGCAAAGGUUAUGACGCGGAUGGGUUGUAGGACAUGAAAACAAUUUGGCACUAGACUUAUGGGACGAACACAAGGACACUCGAAACUAAGGGUACAUGUGAACCUAACUAUACGUCUGAAGCUUUGAUUACCACUUGAGGAGAACAAGGCCCGAUCUUCCGAAAGGUUCUGGUAACUAUCAAUUUGGUGGAAACGAAACACAAAACAUUCCAGUUUGCGAACAACACGAUUCGAAACCCUGCAAUUCUUUUUAUAUUUUUUGAUAUUUUUCUUUUCCUUAGGAGCACUCAAGAAGUAACCACAGGAAAUUUGAGCUUAAACAAGUGAAGUACGUGACCUGUGGAAUUUUUUGAAGAUUGCGAAAAAUAUAAAAAUAAAGUUUAGGAGGUGAAAACUCAAAAUUUCAGAGGCGAAUUUGGGGAUUCUAAAUUUAUCGAACCCGCCCAGGGCGGGGAUAGACAGACCCAAAAUUUUUUUCUAAUUGAUUUUGAUAUAUGGAAUGAUAAAAUCGGAGUUCGUAGGCGAAAGUUAUGGCUGUUUUACAAACGGACUCCGAAUUAGAGGACAAAACGGUCCGGAAGUGGGAAAAAUUUGCGGUGGUGGCUAGAAAUUGAUGGAAACGGUGGGAAAAAACACACAAACUGGACUCGAACAAGACCUAACCAGUAACAAGACCUCAACCAGGACACAAACUCAAAACUACGGAUUCUGAAACUGAAAUAUGCAAAGGCUAUGGCGCGGAUGGGUUGUAGGACAUGAAAACAAUAUGACACUAGACUUAUGAGACGAACACAAGGACACUCGAAACUAAGGGUAGAUGUGAACCUAACGGUAUGUGUGAUGCUUUGAUUACCACUUGAGGAGAACAAGUCUGGCCCGAUCUUCCGAAAGGUUCUGGUAACUAUCGAUUUGGUGGAAACGACACACAAAUCAAUCCAGCUUGCGAACAACACGGUUCGAAACCCUGCAAUUCUUUUUAUUUUUUUUUUGAUAUUUUUCUUUUACUUAGGAGCACUCAAGAAGUAACCACAAGAAAUUUGAGCUUAAACAAGUGAAAGACGUGGCCUGUGGAAUUUUUUGAAGAUUGUGAAAAAUAUAAAAAAACUUUAGGAGGUGAAAACUCGAAGUUCAGGGGCGAAGUUUGGGAUUCUAAAAUUAUCGAACCCGCCUCUAGCAGAGAUAAACAGAUCCAAAAAUUUGUUCUGAUCGAUUUUGAUAUAUGGAACGUCCAAAUCGGAGUUCGUAUGCGAAAGUUAUGCCUGUUUUACGAACGGACUCCGAAUUAGAGGACAAAACGGUCCGGAAGUGGGAAUAAUUUGCGAUGGUGGCUAGAAAUUGACGGAAACGGUGGGAAAAACACACAAACUGGACUCUAACAAGACCAAAUUGGUAACAAGACCUCGACCACGAUACAAACUCAACACUACGAACUCUGAAACUGAAAUAUGCAAAGGCUAUGGCGCGGAUGGGUUGUAGGACAUGAAAACAAUUUGGCACUAGACUUAUGGGACGAACAUAAGGACACUCGAAACUAAGGGUACAUGUGAACCUAACUGUACGUCUGAAGCUUUGAUUACCACUUGAGGAGAACAAGGCCAGAUCUUCCGAAAGGUUCUGGUAACUAUCGAUUUGGUGGAAACGAGACACAAAUCAUUCCAGUUUGCGGACAACACGAUUUGAAACCCUGCAAUUCUUUUUAUAUUUUUUGAUAUUUUUCUUUUACUUAGGAGCACUCAAGAAGUAACCCCAGGAAAUUUGAGCUUAAACAAGUGAAGGACGUGGCCUAUGGAAUUUUUUGAAGAUUGCGAAAAAUAUGAAAAUAAUGUUUAGGAGGUGAAAACUCAAAAUUUCAGAGGCGAGUUUGGGAAUUGUAAAUUUGUUGCACUGCCUAUGGUGGGGAUAGACAGAUCCAAAAAUUUUUUCUGAUCGAUUUUGAUAUAUGGAACGUUAAAAUCGGAGUUCGUAGGCGAAAGUUAUGGCUGUUUUACGAACAGACUCCGAAUUAGAGGAGAAAACGGUCCGGAAGUAGGAAAAAUUUACGGUGGUGGCGAGAAAUUGAUGGAAACAGUGAGAAAAAACACACAAACCGGACUCAAACAAGACCUAACUAGUAACAAGCCCUCGACCAGGACUCAAACUCAAAACUACGGAUUCUGAAACUGAAAUAUGCCAAGGCUAUGGCGCGAAUGGGUUGUAGGACAUGAAAACAAUAUGGCACUAGACUUAUCAGACGAACACAAGGACACUCGAAACUAAGGGUAGAUGUGAACCUAACGGUAUGUCUGAUGCUUUGGUUACCACUUGAGGAGAACAAGUGUGGCCCGAUCUUCCGAAAGGUUCUAGUAACUAUCGAUUUGGUGGAAACGAGACACAAAUCAAUCCAACUUGCGAACAACACGAUUCGAAACCCUACAAUUAUUUUUAUUUUUUUUGAUAUUUUUAUUUUACUUAGGAGAACUCAUGAAGUAACCACACGAAAUUUGAGCUUAAACAAGUGAAAGACGUGGCCUGUAGAAUUUUUUGAAGAUUGCAAAAAAUAUAAAAAAACUUUAGGAGGUGAAAACUCAAAUUUCAGGGGCGAAUUUGGGGAUUCUAAAUUAUCGAACCCGCCUCUAGCGGAGAUAUAUAGAUCCAAAAAUUUGUUCCGAUCGAUUUUGAUAUAUGGAACGUCAAAAUCGGAGUUCGUAUGCGAAAGUUAUGGCUGUUUUACGAACGGACUCCGAAUUAGAGGACAAAACGGUCCGGAAGUGGGAAAAAUUUGCGGUGGUGGCUAGAAAUCUAUGGAAAUGGUGGGAAAAAACACACAAACUGGACUCUAACAAGACCAAAUCAGUAACAAGACCUCAACCAGGACACAAACUCAACACUACGGACUCUGAAACUGAAAUAUGCAAAGUUUAUGGCGCUAAUGGGUUGUAGGACAUGAAAACAAUUUGGCACUAGACUUAUGGGACGAACACAAGGACACUCGAAACUGAGGGUAGAUGUGAACCUAAUGGUACGUCUAAAGCUUUGAUUACCACUUGAGGAGAACAAGGCCCGAUCUUCUGAAAGGUUCUGGUAACUAUCGAUUUGGUGGAAACGAGACGCAAAUCAAUCCAGUUUGCGAACAACACUGCAAUUCUUUUUAUUUUUUAUGAUAUUUUUCUUUUACUUAGGAGCACUCAAGAAGUAACC